UUUAGUUUACCAAACACCUAAAACCUUCACAACUUUUUUUCAUGGGUGUUUUUUUUAAGCACCUCACUCCCAAACCACCCUUUAAGCUAUCAUAACUCAAACUCUUUCCGAUGACUAUCUUGAGAAAAAUAACUUUUAGCAGAGUACUAUAACUUUCCCUAACCAAAAAGCAGAACAAUUUAAUUUUGUCAUAAUAUAAAUUUGAAUUUCAGUGGCGCUCUGCUUCCUAACUUCCAAGCCAUUCACUUUGGGUAGGGUUUGGUUUGCAUGGCUACGGAGAUAUUACGAAAAUACACUAUAAAUUACUGACUGUUGUAAACAUUCAUAGUUUAAAUGUGAUUGUGUAAAUUCUAGAUUAGAUUUGAUUCUAGUUAUCAUUUUCUAUUGUAUCUUGUAUUCCUUGGAGAUGAAAGAAUAUCUUCUCUCCCUUUAAUACUAUAAAUAAAGGCACAAUGUUGAAGGUAUAACAACACACACAUUCCCCUACAAUUUUACAAACACAUCUCUCUCUUCUUCUCCUUGCCGCCGGCCAACCUAAACUUGUCAGAUAAAAUAGACCACAACACUGACCCCAAUUUAACAUAUAAUUUAUUUUUCAUUUAAAAGUUUCUUUUGUUUACAUCCAUUAGUUUAAGGGAUUCAAUGCAGAAUUUGAUCGUGAUCAAAUUAGAGAUUUUGCUAAUGAAUUAAUUACUAGAUAUUGAAAACCUAUAUUCCAAAAACUUAAGGCAUACAUUUGAUCUUUUGCCUUUCAAGGUUCCUACACUAAAGGACAUUGUUCAUGUUUUGGACCCUCGUGAAAAAAAGCUUAGAUGACGUAUUAAUAUUAAACAAUAGACAGUGGAGACUUUUUCCUUGAUUUCUUUAUAUUUAAUUGAUAUGGACUAGUGAAAAUUGUAAGAUGUGUCAAAUUAAAUUAACACGAAUGAUUAAUUCUUUAAUAAUGUGAAGUGAUUUUGUCGAAGAUACGGUAGCAGUGUUCAUACCAUAAUAAACUAGUGGUAGGGCUUCUAACUCGCAUGAUAAAAUAUUCGUUGCCACGUAUUCAAAAGUUUUGAUGCUCUCUCCCAAGUUUUGAAUAGAAAUUUAAAAGAAGAGUUUUUGUCACAAAGUAUCCUUGAAAUUAACCCAAUUCAUUAAGGUGGUUAUUGAAAUUGAAAAUUGAUCAAUAUAGUCUCAGAAAUUGGGUGUCAUAAAUCAAUGUGGUCAUUACGUAGCAAAUCUAUAAAAAAAAUUGUUAUAUACUGAUAUGACACAUAAUUAGAUCCCACAAAUCUAAUUAAAACAUAAUUGGCACCACCUCACUACUCGACCAUCAGCACCAUCACUCAUUGGAACAUAAUCGGCACCAAGGUAUAAAAUAUCGAUGAUAUCGAAAAUAUCGGUAGUACAAAAACACGGAAAUAUCGAUGGAAAUAUCGGGAUAUUAUCGAUAUCGAUAAAAAAUGAAUAAAAACCACGAAAAUUGUAAAAAAAACUUGGAAAUUUUUAUUGAAACUUUGCAGGAUGUUUGUUUAGUCAAUUAUUUAUUAGUUUAUCACAAAAAAAAAAUUGUAAGGAAAUGCAUUGCAUGAUGGAUUUAACUGAUUUAAGUUGAUUAUAUUGCGAGCUAGCAAGCAUUGUGAGUGUAGACAAUAUGUAGUAAUUAAUGAAAGAAGUUUAAACACACCAUAAUCAUUUAUAUAUAAUGAAUUAGUACAAUAUUUUACACUUUAUACAUUGCAUGGUAAGAUACAUGAGUGACUUAGUACUACAUAGAGUUCCUAUGAGGUUCAAAAUUUUCACUAUCUUCAUCAUUUCUAUGUGUAGAGUAAGUGUAUUGUGAAGAGUAGUCAGCAACCAUGGCAAUGGCUUUCAAGAACCAAAACCCAAAAGUCAAUAGGAAACUGAAUACUUUGGUAUUUUUCGGGAUUUCGGGAUUACCAAACAAAUGGGAUUUGGAAACCAUCCCAUAUAAAAAAUUUCUGUAUUUUUCGGGAUGGUUUUGGUUUGGGAUUUUUCGGUUUGGGUUUGGGACUUUUUCGGUUUGGUUUGGGAUUUUCGGGAAUUUUUUCCAGCACUACCAUGUAAGUGACCAAAUAAAAAAUAGAAAAAUUAAAAACCACAUACCAUUGACUAAGUAAUUAAUUGACAUAAUUUAAAAUAUAAUACCACAAAAAAUUUGGAAUAUGUGCAAAUUUGUUUCUUGUAAAAAGAAUUCAAACCAAAACCAUAUAUAUAACUAUUUUAGCAUAUCAACACGAAAACAUAAGUGACAUAGUGGUUAAGGCGUUGAAGGAGUGAAAUUGGAGGGGUUCGAAUCCCUCUAUGCUCAAAGUUGAGAUUUUUAAGAAAUUUUCAAAUAUUUUUUGAUUUCAUAUCGCGAUAAUAUCACAAUAUUAUUAAUGAUAAUUAAGGGGAUAAGUCACGAAAUAUCGUUAUCUCAAAAAAACGAUAAUAUCGGCGAUAUUUCGUCGAUAUUUUCGAUAUUUUGGUCUUUGAUCGGCACCACCUCACCACUCAAUCGAACCAAACCAUCUUCUCCAACGUACACCACCUUCUCCCACCAUAUCCUCCGAUCUACCGCCGCACCCGAGGCCUAGAUCGACGACCCCACACCAAUAAUUCUGACGAGUAGCAGAAGAUUUCGGAAAAACCCACCUUCUCCCGAUGGGUUCAUUUUUCUUUUGGUGGGGAGGGCUGCCAUGGCAGCAAGCUUACGCGAAGAAGUCCACGAAAAAAAUAAUAAUAAAAAACUGAAAAUAUGACUUUAACCCCUCAAAUUCAAUUUUUUCGAUACAAAACCGGACAUAAAUUUUUUACUCAAAAAAACCCAGUGACUAGGAUCCACCUAAGUGAAUUCAUUAAUUACAUAUUACUUUACACAUUUUACAUUUUUUAGAUGCCUAAAAUACUCCUAUUGCAUAUUUGAUGUGCACAAUUAAUUCUAUGCAGAUUGUAAGGAGAGAGUUAAUGAUUUUGCAAAAAGAAAAAAUAAGACAUUAAUGUUAAAAAAUUCAUUGCAUAUUAAUAUCAAAUAUGAGAAUUGUUGGAUUAAUUCUAUGUAUCUGACAUUAUGAGUUCAUAUAUAUAUUUUUACAAAAAAAAAAAAAGAAAAAAAAAACCUAAUAUAUGUAAUAAUACAUAAAAGAAAAAGUAAUUUACCUACCAUGUGCAAAAAUGUUAUUUGAUUCAAAAUGUGUAUAUAUAUAUAUGUGCGUGUGUGUGUGUGUGUGUGUGUGUGUAUUUAUAUAAUUAGACCAUAUUCAUUUACCUACCUAGUAUUUGAAAUGUUCAUUUCCAAUUAUGCAAAAUAUUGUAUACCAAAAACAAAAUAUUGCAUAACCUUAGGAAUUGAAUCAUGCUUUUGAUUUUAUCUUUUACCUACAAACAAUCAUAUACAUAUCACUUUAUAUAUUUUUACCAAAAAGGUCCCUAAUAGGCUAAUAUAUGUAAUAAUACAUGAAAAAUAAUUUACUUACCAUGUAUACAAAAAUGUUAUUUGAUUCAAAAUAUAUAAUCUAGGUUUUCUCAAAAAAAAAAAAAAAAUAAAAAAAUAAAUAAAUAAAAUAUAUAUAUAUAUAUAUAUAUAUAAUCUAGGUGUAGUGUGCGUGUGUGUAUAUUUUUUAUAUAAUUGGAACAAAUUAAUUUACCUACCUACAAAUUAAUUUCCAAUAAUUUACCUACAAAAAAUAAUACCCCGUGUGUAAUAUUGUGACAUCCCAUAUCGCCCAGAGGAGUGGAUCCUAUAAGCCUUAUAUGUAUAUUUCCAUCUCUACCUAGCACGAGGCUUUUUGGGAGCUCACUGGCUUCGGGUUCCGUAGGAACUCCGAAGUUAAGCGAGUUCACGCGAGAGCAAUCCCAUGAGUUCCCAGAAAUAAAACUGUGAGGGCAUGGUCGAGGCCCAAAGCGGACAAUAUCAUGCUACGGUGGAGUCGAGCCCAGAAUGUGGUAGGGGCUCGGGCCGGGAUCUGACAAAUAUAAUAUCUUCUUUUCACUAAUACAUGGAGAAUAAUUUACCCAUAACAAGAACAAAUAUAAUUUGAUGUAUUAUAUUGAAAAAUAUUAUGUCAUACCUAUAUUUAUACAACAAUAAAACGUGCCUAAUAUAUGUAACAAUACAUGAAAAAUAAUUUACCUACAAGUUAGAGAAGUGUUAUUUGAUUCAAAAUAUAUAAUACGGAUUUAGUAUAAUUUUUUUUAAUAAUUGGAACAAAUUAAUUUACUUCCCAAUUAGGAAUAAAUUUAGGGAUUUGGAAAAGUGACAUGGGUGUAAAUAAAUUGUAUUAGUAGGUUAAUAGUUUUCCGAUGUGGCUCUAGAUUUUAAAUUUGAGCUUUUAUUGGACGUUUAUAUGUAAAUGAGUUUUUAUCUAGGAAUUAUGAAUUGUAAGGACCAAAAUCUAAAGCACAAAAAAAAAAAAAAUUUUGACAAAAAUAUUUUAUUAUUAUUUAAAUAUUUUUAAUCAGCAUGACAAUAAUUAAUUAGAUUUGUGGGCCUAAUUAUGUGCCACAUUAGUACAUAACAUAAUUUUUGACAGAAUUGUGACGGAAUGACUACAUUGAUUUGCGAUGAUCAUUUUCAAGGACUACAUUAAUCGAUUUUCAAUUUCAGAGACUAUCUUGAUGACGUGGGUCAAUUUCAAUGACCAUUUGUGAUAAAAACCCUUAAAAGAAUGGGUGAUACCUCAAAAACUUUGCACUUUUCCUUUCUUAAAAAGACUAAUGUACAACGCUAUCAAAGAAAGCUUAAGAAAGUUGAGGUUUCAUCAUUAAUUAAUUAAUAUAAAAAGUAUAGUAGUUCAAAUUACUUUAAAUACUUGCAUGGUUUCUCUUUUUUCCGAUGUGAGAUUAAUACUCUCAACAGAAGCAAACUCAUAUUUUUAUUUUGACACGCUACUUUUGAAGGAAAGAAUCGAACACCUCUCUUUAAGUGCAUCAAUAAGCGUUCUUAAUAAUUUAAGGUGCAAAUUCACAUUGAAAACUCCAGUAGUUAAGUAUGUUCUGCAAUUCACAUCUUCGAAUCAAGAAAAAGAAAAUUAUGAGUUCACAAAAAACGAUCGUAAUCAGGAAAAUUCAUUAAGGAGGGGAAAAAAAUAAAAGUGUCUGAUAUUUGCUCACCAAACACAAAUAAUUGACAACCAAAAAAGAAGACAAUUAAUUAGUUUAAUAGGGAAACGACAACGCGGUCUGUGUCACAAGUCAUGAACCUUGUGAUUCAUGAGGGUGAUGAGUUGUGGAAGCGCCCACAGUGCAUGAUGCAACAUGGAUGAUCACCGCAUCUAAAUUCCAUUAUUGCGUUCAUAAUUUCCAUUAAUUAACACAAUACAAAAGAUAAACAAAGACUCAGCUCAACAUUUAAUUCGAUAAUUGGUUGGAGAAAAGGGAAAAUGACAUCUGACUCCUCACAGGCCAACAAAAUGCAAACAUGAUGAUGAUGCUGUUCACAUCGUCUCUCUCUUGAGUUGUAACAAGACGAGAGACAAUAUAUAUGUUGAGUUUUACGUUUUGUCUAGAUCAUCCAAUUGAAUCACAAGGAUGUGCAAAAGCUGAUUCGGAUUGUUAAUGAGACCUGAUUUUGAGCGUUAAUGCAUUGAGCAACGCUCGUUGGGGUACUAUCAAAGAUUCUUUUUCUGCUCUUCUAAGUUUUUCAUUUUGAAGGUUUGUAAGUCAUUUUUUAUAUGAGUCAUUAGAUUCAUUAAGUAUUCAAUUAUAAUAACCAUGUUACACCAAAACACAAUAAUUUUGUAAAGUUAUUAAUAAAAAAAAAUUUCUCACGUGAAACCUUUCGUCUUCUUCCGUUACCGUCACUCUCCUCCGGAGUAGGAUUCUCUCCCCUUUUUUUUUCCCUCUCCUUUCCUCCUCUCCCAUUUGAACGGUCACAGUUAAGUCAUGUCAACAUCUUAUAUUAAUUUUUUAUAGAAAGAAAAAGAUAAAAUAGAGAAUGUGAGAGGAAGGGAUGAAAAGAGAAGGGGAGAGAAUCCUAAUCCCUCUCCUCCACAUCCCAUUCCUCCCUCCAUCUCUCUCAAUCGUUCACUCCUCUUAUCUGCUCCUGAAUUUUUUGUUUUUCGCAUAUGAAAAAGGGAGGAGGACAAAUGGGCUUCAGACCCAAAACACAAAUGGGCUUGACACCCAAUUUGAAUAAAGUCUAAUUUGAGCAGAAAUAAGGGUAAGUAAGAUUUCUCACUUUUAUUUCCUAGGUAAAAUUUGAAAUUAUCUUGGUACAUUAACGUUUCAAAUUGUAUAAAAUGGUCCCAUGGCAGACUAUAAACUACAUAAGAAGUUAUCAUGUCAAAUUGUUAAUCUAAAUAUAUAUAUAUAAAUUAGUCUGUAUUUAUUGUAUCCACAGUCUGACAAGAGAACAUUACUCUUCAAACUGAUAAAACUUAAAGCUCAAAAGAACCAUAUAUCCUACGGAGUUUUAACGGUCUUAAAAAGUAGUAUUGCAUCACCAUUUCAUACUCCUAUAAUUCCCAUAUUCCAUAGACAUCUUAAGAGAGGCACAAAUAAAGAUUUAUAUCAUAGUUUUUAUAAGUUACUACACAAAAAAAAAGAAAAAAAAACAGAAAAAGAAAAAAGAAAUACAGCUGAAAAAAAGGAAGACCCAAAGAUUGUCUUCCACUUGCACUUAUGUUUCUAACUGCUAGCUUUUGGUCGUGGUUCUUCACUCUUCCAUUUCUUGAAGCUUAAUCGAGUUUGUAGGCACUGCCAUGGCCAUGGCCAUAUAUGAACCUUGCCGUUCCUUCUGUAUACACAUGAGUCUCAUUGACCAUCCUGCCAACAACCCAUAAUACUAGCUUCAAUCAGUAGCUGCUUAAUUAAUUAUUAUUAAGAGGAAAAUCAACAUAUUAGGCACCCGACUUACGAUUUCCGAACAGCUUUGCUCAAGGUAGAGGCUGAUGAAAAUGUUUUUCCAUCUAGGUAUCUAUUAUCCCCUGUGAUCCUCUGUUUAAUUCUGAGGUCUAAUUCAUCAGCACUCAGCUCAAUAGGGGUGUCUGAAGCCUGCCAUUUUAAACAAUUACUUAGGGUCCCUAAUGUCACUUAAAAUACAAAAUGGCGUCGCUUAAAGAAGUAAAUAAGAAGAUUGGUUUUAUAGUGAAGGUGCUAGUUUUUGUACCAUGAUCCAUCCCCAUAUAUCGGCAUAAGAAGGAAUAUGAGCUGAAUAAGGCACAACAUCUGCAGACAGAUGAAUUAUAAGAAAAGAGAAGAGAAAAAAUUGAUUUAAAAAGAAAAAAAAAAAAAAAAAAAGGAGAUAGGGAACUCAUUUUCUUAGUCAGUAUAACUUACAUCUGAAGACCUGCCUCAAAGUAUUGUAAAUGCAGGAGAAAACUUCUGUAUGGCUGAAAAUUCCAGCAGGACCUGCCUGCAUAUGAAAAAGAAAAGUGAUUAAUUCUGUGAUUAGGGUUCUGUUUCUGUGGGUGAUAAUUUUUUUGUUUGUUGACAAGACAGUACAUACAGGUGAACACGCUGCCCUUACUAACUAGGAUAUCGCAUGCAUGAGUGUGUUUAAGUUACCUGUGUGACAAAAAUGCCUUCCUUGCUGAGUCUAGGCUUGACAAUUAAUUCAUAGAAGGAUUUGGUGUAGAGUUUAUAACAUGGACCUCCUUCUAUUGGGUCUGCAAGGUCACCAAUGAUCACAUCAUACUGCUCUUCUCUGUGUUCUAGCUCAGCCCUGCAACACCCCCAAUAAUAUUAAUUGUGACACAUAAGCUCUCCGUGUACGACGUUUUUCCUUUAACAGUAGUUAAGUGUUGUAUCGAUAAGGUUAUAAAGCCGGCAUCAUUGAUAUAAAUGUGUAUGCUGAGAAUAAACCUGGCAUCAUUGAUGAUGAGCUCCAAUCUUGGAUCACAGAAUGCUUCACUGUUUACAAUCAAAUAUGACUUGCAGAACCCUACCACCUCCUGCAUUAGUAUUGCAGCUUAUGGUGAAUAAUUUUGUCCUAUCAUAUACAAUAUGUUGUCACUUGUAAGUUGCAAGCCAGACAAAUCCCAAAACAGUAUUUUCGAAAAAUUAAAAUUCUUUUUUGUGCUUCCACAGCCAAUCCUCCUUUUUGUCUUUUUCAAACAACGAGACAAAUGAAAAGCAGCUCAAAACCGGACACAGUGCGACUUAUGGAGGGAGGUUUUAUUUUACCUCAUCAAUGUCACACAUGAGAACCUUCUCCACAGUCCUGUGUCUCAGAAGCUCUCUUGCAGUGGAGCCUUCACCUCCUCCCAUGAUGAAGAUGCUCUUUGGACUGAAGUUGACAUCAAUUAAGAGAGAUAUUAACAUUGUUGCUUUUAACAUCUAGUAUAUAUAAACCUCGGCGAAACGACAUAAAUUUUAUUGAUAUGGAACAGAGAAUUUAGGUACUUGGGAUGAUGAAGAAGUGGCGGGUGCACAAGACAUUCAUGGUAGAUAAAUUCAUCCGUCUCAGCACUUUGAAGCUUUCCAUCAAUCACUAAAGCCUGCAAAUACAGAAGAGAAAAUGGAAUGAGUAAUUUGCUGCAAUUUAAUUUGUUAUCAUCGAUCAUUUUACUUAAUUAAGAGUAGGAUUGAUCAAAACCUUUCCAAAGGGCUUCGUGUCCAGCAAUGCAAUGUCUUGGAAUGGAGUAGCUCCUGUAUGCAAUAUACUGCAAACAAAAAAAUAAUUAAUUAACUAAAGAAAGUUUGGUUAAAUAUAUUAAGGGAGAUUUUGGAUGCGGUCCCUAGUUAUGAAUAAUCUUUGACUAAAACUUUGUUGGUUUUCAAUUUUUGAUCCAAGUCCCUAAAAUUAAUUGAUAAUUUAUUUCUAUGUACGUUACUAUAUUUUUUAAAUUAAAAAUUAAAAUUUAUAGUUGUUUAUAGUAAUGAGAUUUUAAAUAAAAAACAUAAUUUGUGGGAUUAAAAAUAUUAAAAUAUAAAUAUACUAUUGUGUGUGUGUGUGUAAACAUGGGUACAUUCAUAAAAAAUAACCAAAAAAUUAUUGUAUCAAAACAUGGGUACAUUCUUCAAAAUGGGUACAAAUAAAUAAAAAAAUAUGGGUACAAUACAAAUAAAACUUUAAAAAAUAUGGGCACAAAAAGAAAUUAAUAUAUGGGUACAAAUUAAAAUUGAAAGGAAAAUUGGUACAAAUUAAAAAAGGGUUGCAAAUUAAAAAUGGGUACAAACUAAAAAUAAAAAUAUAUGAUAAAAAUUUAGCCAUAAAUAUAAAUAUACUAAUUGUAACAUUUUUAAUAUUAAAUGAAAAUAUUUAGAAAUAAAAAAUAUUUUAUUAUUGAAAUAAUUAAUGAUAUUAUUAAUACAAAGGACCUUGAUAAAAAAUUGAAAAGUAAUAAGGUUUUAAUCAAUAGAGUAGUAAAAAUAAGGAUGAAAACCUAAUUACUCCAUAUAUUAAUCAGGAAACCAAACUUUGUGGUUAGAACACUAACACUAUUCUAACAUUAUUAUGUCUUGUCUAACCUUUUCAUGACCAUGAUAUUUGGAUUGGGGGUAGAAAGAGUGUUUCACUUUUAAGAAUUCUUUCAUUUUUCUAAAGUAGGAGUUUUGACACUAAGAUUGUAAAAUGUCAGAAAAGGUAUUAUCUACAUAAUAAUUUUGUCUAUUGUAGACAUGGUGAAAAAUUCCUAAUGAUUUUGCCUAUAGACAUCUCAUAAAUUUACAAUCAAAAUAAAAAACCACUAAGUCGAGCUUGAUAGCAUGAGAAACGACUAAAUAAAAGAACCAAAAAAAACAUAGGUAGUAAAAAAGGUUAAGCAACAAGAAUUGAAAACAUUUUUGAAAAUUGAGUGAACUUCAGGUAGUAAAAGAUGGUGACAGUUAAUGUACCUAUUAAGAGCAAAGCUCCAUCUCAAAUUUUCUUCAAUUUCUUCCUCAUACCAACAACUCUUCCUGUAUCCAUUCAGCACUGAAUAUCCCUUGCCAUUCACUCCAUUUCCAUUCGCAUUCCCAUUCCCGUUGUUGGUUCCAUUGGAAUCAGGAAUAUCGCCCAUUUUUCUAACUUAGAUAUCCCAAAAAAUACUUCGCAAAACAGGAUGAGUCUCUGUGUGUGUGUGUGUGUGUGUGUGAAUGAGAGAGAUAUAGAGAGAGGGGUAAGUGAUGGAGAAGUCAGGAGGGGUUUCACAAUAUAAGAAGGAAAAAGGUGGCAGCCAAAUCGAAAGGUACCAUGAUUUAGGGUUGGAUUAAAAACCAGAGAAAAGAAGGAAAGGGAAAUCUGUUGAAGUGGUUGUGCCUGAGAACGACACAAAAGCAUGCAGCCCCAACAUAUAUUCAUUGGAAUUCGUAAAGUAAGGGAAAACUGGGACUAUUUUUAGGAUUUGGUUGCGUGGAUUUAAUAUCUUGUUCUUUAUUCGUAAAACAGUAUCAUCAAAUUCUUCAAUAUACGUGAUUGAAAUUGUAGGCCUGCAAGUAGUUCCCUUAGAAAUACGUAAACAUACCGUAUGGGAGUUUUUGUAAUUGGGGGAUGGUUUGGUUUUGGCGUCAACUAAGGGUUUUCACAAUGUUAUUUUCGAAAGCAACUCGCUUCAAAUUAUCUCAGUUUUACGGGAUUCUGCCAUUAACAUGUCAUAUGUUGGUCAUAUUAUUGAAGAAUCUAAAAUCCUAUUGAAAUCGAUCACUGAGGCUUCUUAUACCCACGUUCGCCGUCAAGCCAACGAUACUGCUCAUCUCCUAGCCCACUACAGACUUAGAAAUGCUAGUCCUUUUGUUUGGUUAGAUUCCCCUCUGGGCUUUUUAGCCGAUGUCCUUCUCGAGGGUGUCCUCUCUAUGAUGGACUGAGCAUUUGCUUCUUUUUGUAUGUCUUUCUCUUUCAUCCAUGAAAUGAAAAUCUAUCGUUUUUAUCAACAAUAAAAAAAAAAGAAAGAAAUACGCAAACAUACUGAUGCUGUUAUAUAUGCACGUGUCAUGGUCAUACUAUGUAUGCAUGUUUGGUAAUUUUUAUUUCUUUACCCAGUGAUAUUCAAAACAGUGCAAUCUACAAUCAGAAAACUUGAACUCAUGUGAAACAAGAUGGACGCACUGUUCUAACUAAUUAGUUUUACUCGUAUACUUUUGAUGAUAUUAAUUUUAUUAGUUAAAAAUAGGGUAUUGGAGGAUGGAGAAAAGGGGGAAAAGGAUAAAAGAUGAUGAUGAGGGGGUGACAACAAGCGAAAAUUCUGGUUAUACUCUUUUUCUUCGAGAAUGUGUGCAAAUCUUGGUUGAAGAAGAGAGAGAGGAGCGUGCACUGGAAACCAUCAUAACAUUCUCUUUGCUUCAAAAGAUUUGGAGGGCGUGCUGGCAGGCGCACUCAUCAUAACCCUCAACCAUUUACGCAUCAAUUAUCUCCCCCAAACAGGAAGUGUUAAAGUUCAACCCCAUACCCUCCGUAAAACAUAUACGUAAGAAAUAAAAGAUUAUAGAGUUUUUAUCACAAAUGAUCUUUGAAUUUGAUACACACUAUUACGAUAAUCCCUGAAAUUAAAAAUUGUAGUUCUUAAAAAUAGGUGUCGUAAAUUAAUAUGGUCAUUUUGUCAUAAUUCUGUAAAAAAUUAUAUUAUAUGCUGGUGUGGCACAUAAAUGGAUUCUAUAAAAUUUACGAGUUUUUAUUACAGAUGGUCACUGAAACUGAAAAUCGAUCAAUGUAGUCCUUAAAAAUAGGUGUCAUAAAUCAAUAUGAUAUUUUCAUCACAAUUCUGUCAAAAUUUUAUUAUGUGCUCAUGUGGGUUUAAUAAUUUAAUGAUCAAUUAAAAAAAGUUGUCAAAAUACCUUUUUGCACAAUGGAAUUAUGUCAAUGCAGAGCUUGCCGUUCCCCGCAUCACUAAGACCACCAGGGAAGCACCCAAUAAGCUCUCCAAUAUUAAGGUUAUGAGGAUGUCGAUCGCCAAAAUGUUAUGAUAAUUUCAUAGAAGUAGUCGGCAAUCCAAGCUAUCACUAAAUGUGGUCUCGAUCCUGAUCAAAUUCGGUGAAGAGUGUCGAAGGCCGUUAAGAUGGAUGUCCUAAGGAUUUUUUUUAUUUUUUAUUUUCUUCAGAGAAGAUACUAUUGAGGGCUACCAUAGAUGGAGGUAGAAGAGUGUGGGAUGAGAUCAGAGGUGAUUACGGGCUUGAGUUUUUGGAUUGACAAUUUUUUCAAUUAAUUAUUAAACUAUUGAACCUAUUUCUAAUUUAAUUAGACUUGUGGAUUCCAUUUAUGUACUGCAUCAGCACAUAACAAUUUUUUUUGACAAAAUUGUGACAGAAAGACCACAUUGAUUCGAGACACAUAUUUCUAGAUCUACAUUGAUCGAUUGUCAAUUUCAAGGACCAUCUUCAUAGUGUGAGUCAAUUUUAGGGACCAUUUGUGAUUAAAAAAAAGGACUUAUGGACCCACUUAUGUGCCACAUCAGCACAUAAUAGAAUUUUUGACAAAAUUGUGAGGAAAUAACCACAUUGAUUUGCAACACCUAUUUUUAGGGACUACAUUGUUCAACUUUCAAUUUUAGGGACCAUCUUGAUGGUGUGUGUCAAUUUCAGGGACCAUUUGUAAUAAAAACCUAAAAUUAUAAAUGGAAGAAGUUCUGGCCCUAGCUACCUACCAACUUGCUAUUUAGUUUUUAUUUUGGAUAAUGUUAGGGAGACCUAAUUUUUAAAUCAAAUUUUGUAAACCAAAUGAUAUGGUUGUUGAUGACUGGAUUAUUACGUAAGUGUUGAUUAACGUACUUAUUUCCUAUGAGUAAUGUUAUAGAGACUAAAUUUAUAGACUAAAAUUGCAAACUAAAUGAUGUGUCACCAAUAAGAAAUGAGCAUGUUUAUCAACGUUUAAGUAAUAAUUCAAUCAUCAACUUCCAUGUCAUUUAGUUUAUAAAACUUAGUAUAUAAAUUUAGUCUCCCUAGCAGUACUCAUUUCCUAUUGGUGACAUCAUUUGAUUUGUGAGUUUAAAAUUUUGGCUUACUUAGCAUUACUCUUUACUUUCUGACAUGUUAUUUGAAUAUUAGAAGAUGUCUGUAAUUUAUCUGGAAAUUAUUUGUUAGGUUAUAUUAUUUUAAGAGUUGUUUGUAAGACUAUGGCAAUAUGAGCUAUGACAUGUUUACAGAAGAGAAAAAAAUUGUGCUAAUAGUUUGCCAAAACUACAGUCUUGUUGUAGAAUGAGGAAGUCAUUAUUUUGAUAAUCCCUCUUCUUGUUGCAAAUAGUUUAUUUGAGAUUUCCAAGCUUAGUGAAAAUGGUAUGUCACAUCUACACACAAAAUCACUCUGAUCCAAAUGUCAUAUGCUUUGUUUUGCUAUAGCAUGUCAACAAACUAUAUAUUCAAUCUUAUGCAACAAUUUGUGGGUAUAAUUAACGAGAUUAAAUCUUUUGUACUCAAAAUUCUUUGUGAUCUUUUUGUAACCUAUUUCAUUGUUGACAGUUGACCAUUCAUUUAAAUUUUAUUUUAAUAGUUAAAUAAAUAGGUCACUGAAAGGCCACAAAGAGUUUUAAGUGCAAAAGAUUCGAACUCUUAGUUAAGGGGGUCCAAGAGAGUCCACUAGUGUCGUAAGGUUGGCAAUAGAAUGAUGUGUGAAAGACCAAAUAAAAAGUAACAAAAUAAAAAGAACAAGAUAAAAGCCUAUGUGCCAUAGGAGAGAGGCUCUAUAUUGAGAAGUGGUGGCGUUCUAUUUGAUGCAGGCCAGCUAUGAAUACUAAGGAAAUCAUUCUUGUUACUUGCAGUGUGUUUUGGUUUGGGGGUGACGAUGGAUUCGGCCAAACUCUUGUUUUAGAAAGGUUAUGAUGACCUCAAAGGCCUCAAGCUCCAACUCAGAGGUCCCCGGGAUAAUAUUUUGUUCCCCUAAUCUUUUACUUGCUUCCUUCUCCCUCUUCAAGACCUGUAAAAAUCAUUGCACUGGCCUAAACUUUGUCACCCAACAAAUCAUAUGACAUGAUUUUAUAGAUUUCUUAUUUGCUUGCCUUGCUGCACAUAAAAUGAUGUCUCAUCUUCAUUUCCCAUAAUGAUUCAUGCCAUGACUUUGCUUUGUUAUAUUAUGCGUAUCUUCUUCAUUUCUAGUCAAGUUUGAACUUAAAUGUCGACGAUUGGAUCAGAUUUGCAUCGGAAAGUUAAAACUCAUAUAUAACUUUUGAGUUAAACUAAAAGUUAUAUAUCUGUUUUUUAAGUAAUUAGAGUUAUAUUUAAAAUUUCCAAAAAUUAUUUGAGUGUAAAGGUGAAUGUCAAGCAAAGAGAACAACUUCAUUCCAACCAAAAAAAAAAAAAAAAAACAUUUGAGUCACAUGUAAAAUUUAAAAUGGGGUGUGCUAACCACACACCCCAAAUUACUUCUCACACACCCUUAUUAAUUUCUAUCCGUUGAUCUUCUUCAAUUCAUCCGAUCCGACGGCCGAAAAUUAGAAGGGUGUGUGAGAAGUAAAAUGGGGUGUGUGGAUAUCACACCCCUUUAAAAUUUGUAAUCAAGUGCAUGAGGAGAAAAAUAAGAAAACUCAAACCCAUGUACCACCCCAUUUGAACUCAAAUAUAAAAAAUAUAGUGUAAUGAUUUCAACUCUAGCAUUUGAUCAUUUCAUUAUGGAGAAAAAUAAAACAAGAAAGAUGCACUUUUUGAAAUAUUUAUGAUUUUUUUUUAAUUAAAGAAGAUCUCAGGAAUGGUUCUGUAUGAAUGACUACAUUUUUCUAACAAUUCAGAGUUAAACCAGGUAUUGUUUGGUAAUUUCAAAAAUCUAAUAUUGAUUCGUUUGUUAUUGCUUAAAAUGAGGUUGGGGUUUUUGAAGAACUUGUUCUUUAGGGAAUUGUAAAGUCUGGGAAUUGAUUUAGAAGUAUGCUUCUACUACUCAUCAGAUUCGCAGCUAGAUGAAGAUAGGAGAGAAAUUUGGAAACCAUAAAGCUAGAUGGGUCUCUUUCCUAUGCGAAUCAUAAAUCUACAAAGCCACCUCGUGUUAUUGAUAAAUCUACACAACUUCCUAAUGCAUUCAUAGUUAUAUGUGUCUGUCAUCAUUAGGUUAAUUAAUUAGAAGUAGAAUAUAUACCCUAUAACUCUUCCAAAUGGGAAUGGAAGAGAAGAGCAAGUCAAACCUCGCAGUAAGUAUAUAAACUUAAGAAUUGUCCUUUUAGGAAAACCAAGAAGAGCAAGAUGAAGAAACCUACGCUACCAAAUAUUUUAGGAGAACCAAGAAGAGCAAGAUGAUUUUUUUAUAGUUACUUACUCAAAUUUAUGUAUUUUGCAGUAUUUUAUUGUUAAUUUUAGAUACAUUUGUUAAUUAUUUUUAGGGUAAUUUUAUUUAGACCCAACAAUACUCUUUCUACACCUAGCUAAAAAAAAAACUUUCUCUGUAAUUUCUAUAUUACCCCUUAUACAAAAUAAAAUAAGAAAAUGAAAAUUAAAUAUCUUUCUACACCCAUUCAACUAAGAUAGCACCCACGUGCAUGAUGCAGCGCCACCACUCAACCACCACUUCAGACCUCCCUCUUCCUUCUCCUGCAUGUGGAAGUUAGGCGGGAUUGCUAAAUCAACCAUCGCCUUCAACAACCCGACCCAAUACAAAAUCCAUUUGACUCCAUUUUGGACUUCUGCAACAAGUCGCUUACGGAGUCAAUGAUGCCACUUAGUUUUGCCUCUUAACAGCAAGGCCCUAUCAUGCGCAUGAGAAGAAAAAUAGAAAGAUUCACUGGACAUUUGGUGGAGUAGCCACCGCAAAGAAUUGGUGGGUGUGGGAGAGGUGGGGGGAACACACCGAGAAUAUCAGGAAAAAAUAGUCGGCAUGGAGAUAGACCCAACAAAUACAGGGAGGAGCCAGCCGAAGGCGAGAGAAUAGUCGAGGAAAUGGGUAUGAUUAGUUUUUCUUUUUCCAGUUUAUAUAUGUUUAUAAUUUAUGAGGGUAAACUAAAGAGUUUAGUUAACAAAAUAUUAAAGUUGGGUUUCGAGAGAGGAAAACUUGUCCAAAUAAAAUUUCUCUUAUUUUUAAUAUACCACAAAAUUAAUAGUGUUAUUAGACCCACCACCUCAGUGUCUUAUUUUUCCAUCCACAUGAUAAUCUCACCCACAAUAAAAAAUUAAAAAAGUGAAAUGUUAUUUUUCCACUCACCAUUGUUUCCAAAAUAACCCUAGUAUUUUUUUUUUAAAUAACUUUAAUACAUCUUUGAAUAAUAUUUAUAAAUAAAUAAAUAAAAACAAAAAAAUGAAAGCAAAUGCAAGACCUAAGACCUAGAUUCAUCAUGUAAGACCUAAGACCUGGACAUUCAUCAUCUUCUUCAAACCACACGUGUCCUUCAAAUCAUGGCAUCCAUUUCCUAAUAUCUCUUCCUACUAAUCCCAAAUCUACCAGCCCGAUCUCUCUCCAGAUCCCCACCCUCUAUUUUCACCGAGUUCCAUAACUAUGGCCCAAUAUUCCCGGCAAACCCUAGUACUCACACCUAUCGUCGCCCCACAGAGACUCGUUUCCCCAAACCACUCCUCUUCCUCCUUUUCUAUCAAAGCCGCAGAUCUCACCCUCAAGUCUCUUUUGCCUCCAUUGAAGUUUCUCGCCCUUGUCUUGCACACACCCAUUCCUUACUCCAACCUUUCCGUCAAUUCUAGCCCAAAUCUUUCCCGGCCUCUCUCCACCAAAGAUACCACACCCAACCCAUCGUUAUUUAUUUAUUAUUUAAAUUUUUUUUUCAAAAGUUUAGUAGUUAAUUAAAUAAGAGUUUAAGAAUAUUAACAUUUCAUUAAAUGGUGGGUAGGGAAAUAAGACUUAGGGGUGGGAAUAUCAGCAUUGGAAAUUAAUUGAAUUUAUACAUGAGUUUGUAAUAUAUAUUAUGAAAGAACAAUAAACUUUAUGUACGAAGAAGUUCAAGAAUACUAAAAAAUCUAAAAAAUAUAUAGAAUUUCAUAAUUACGUUCCAAAAUUUUCGAAAUUACUCAAAAUUAAAGUUUGUAAUUUGAAAAUUGUGAUCCAAUCCGAUUCGGUUCCUAAAUUUUAAAAUGAAAAUUAGAAACAUCAUUUUCAAUCCAAUCCUUCAGAAAAUCACCUCUAGACCAGAUUCAUGGACAUUCAUGUUUUCAUUCGUAUUGGUGAUUCUAAGUAAGUAAAUAGAGCUUAAGACAUUGUUUGACCCGAAUAAAACAGAGCCCAAUAGGCCCAGGUUGCAGCUCAAUGCUUCCAACCCUGUAAAACCCCAGGCGGCAUUCUCUAAACCCUCUACUGUAUUCUGAAUCUCAACUUCUCAUCUCCUUGUAAAAUCUGCACUUGUUCUUCUUCUUCUUCUCACCCAGGUAUUCCAUCUUCCUUGAAUUUCUUUGUCUAUUUUUAUUUUACUACUUGGGAUUUAACUAAGCUUAUAAUAUUGAGAAAUUUCUCCUUUUUAAUGGAAAAAUCGCUCUUUUUUUUCUUUUUUUUUUUUCUGAAACCCAUUGCAAUUUUCUCUUACCCUCUUUACUGUCUGCCUAAACUCGCUUAAUUUUUUUUUUAAAUUUUAUUAAUUUCUAGCUUUAAUUUUUUUAAGGAAGUCUAAAACCUUGUUUCAUCUGUUGAUUUUUCUUUUGGGGUUUUGGGGUGUUUGUGUAUGUCUUUGAGGCCGACGUAGUAAAAUGUUGAGUUAAAUUCAGAGGAAUUGGAGUUGUGGGUUUUGAGUAGGGUUUAGAUCAAAUAUACCGGAAGUGAAGGUUAUUGAUUGAUUUUAUCUGGAUUUUUAAAAUUUUAAUCUUUGCAUUGAAGGUUGAUUGGCAAGUAUGUGUCACAGACUUGAGACAAUCGAGAUAAGCCUCGAAUGGAAAUUCCCGUAACAGAUUAAUGUGGGAUAUAUUCUGCAUUUGAGAGUCAUUAGGAAGUGGGUUCCAAUGAUUUGGUUAUUCCACCGUACCUGUUCAUUGUAAUCUUCAUGGAGGAAGGUUUCUGCUGUAAUGGGUUUUCGUGAUUAAAACGAAGAUAAAAGAUGGUCCUUUCGUUACUGAUGUUUUCGUACAAGUGUAAUAGUUGUUGAGGGUGUUGAUUGGAUGGUGAAAACAAACUUAGCUUCUUCUCCGUGAGUUAAUGUUCUUUAUUUGAAUUACUUCCUUUUGGUUAGUGAAGUGUUUUUUUUUUUUUUUUUUUUUAAAUUUACUUCCGUUUGGUUAGUGAACUGUAGGCAUGAGCAAUGAUAUAGAAUAGCCAUUUUGUUGCUGAAACAAAGGUAUUAUGCAAUAAUUUAUGGAACUUUGCAGUUUGGUUGUUAUCACGUUUAAAUUUUAGACAGUGAUUACUUUAGCUACUAUUUGUUUCUUGUUAUCUAUGGCGUUUCCUAAGUUGGUUAUUGUGAAGUUCUAACAGAUGGAGUACGUGAGCCCAGAAGGUCUUCGCUUAGAUGGUCGGCGGCCCAUGGAAGUAUUUUUCCAUCUCUCAAUUUUCCAUUGUGUUGAAUCAUCACCAGUAUAAAGUUUCAAUUAGUUUAUAAAAUAUUUUUUUUCUGUGAUCCCAGAUGAGACAAAUCCGAGGAGAGAUUGGUGUUGUGGAAAAAGCCGAUGGGUUCUAAUUACUAAAACCUUGAUUCUUCUUUUCUAAUCUUUGUAAUUUUUUUUUUAAAGUUGAUCUUUCAUAUCAAAUUUCAGUUCUGCUGUGUUUGAGAUGGGGAACACCAAAGUCAUUGCUGCAGUGUAUGGCCCUCGAGAGGUUAGCUAAUUCUUUUUUCUUCAUUCUAUUAUUUCGAGCUAAAAUUUUAAUGAACUUGUGCGUGGUACUCAUUAUUAUUUAAAAUGUCUUGUCCGAUUUUCAAUUUAAAUAUACUUUUGUUUUCUAGGUCCAAAAUAGGAGCCAGCAGAUGAAUGACAAGGCACUGGUAAUAGUUCAUCUAAUUCUCUGUGUAUUAAAUUUAUCUGUGUUGUGGUGAAUAUGAUAAACGGAACAGGCAUGUAUUAUAUUCGUAAAUGUAAUGUCAUUAGCCAUUGUUAAUAAGUUUAGGUGCGGUGUGAGUACACCAUGGCAAAUUUUAGUACUGGAGAUCGCAUGAGGAAACCAAAGGGUGAUAGGUGAUAUAUUCUAUUCUCUUUCAUUUUCAUACAUACAUGUUGGAUCAUCUUCAAUUUAAAAUUUAACAUAAGAGUGUUGUAUCCAUAACUAAAUUAAACUAUAUAACUAAAAUGUACAUUUUUAUGCUCUCAGACGAUCCACAGAGAUUUCUCUUGUUAUUCGGCAAACCAUGGAAGCAUGCAUUAUGACACAUUUAAUGCCUCGGACUCAGGUUCCACUGAUGCAUCUUGGGAACUUUUCUUCCAUGAAUGUCUAGUUUGUUCUUUAUUGAGCCUUGUAUCCGUUUGUUGCAGUUUGAUAUUUUUGUGCAAGUUCUCCAAGCAGAUGGAGGUAAAUCCCGGUGCCUCAUUGCAGUCAUAGGUCCCAUAUGAUAAUGUACUUUCAGAUUAUGUAAUAAAUCAAUGCUGCCCUGUUUCCCUUCUAUGUGUGUGUGCAUAUUUGGUCCUGUUUCAUUCAAGGUAUUUGUAGAUCCAGGCUUGUUUUCUGAAAAACUGAAGCCUCCUCUAUUCAUUUCAUGUACAGGGUACUAUGAACCACUUUUAUUUGAAUUUAAAGUUGUUAGUUUUUUAACUACUAUUGAGGUAGGUCAUGUUUGAGGGUCAAACUACGCUGCAGGCAGUACGUUAAUAGUUAUUGCUUUUGUUGCAUCUUAUUUUAAUAGAAUAUGUGAUCGAUAGUGUUCACAAAGCACCAUGGUUGUCCCUGUUAUCUGUGUUUCGGUCAUUAUGUUAACUAUUUUGCAAAGACUACUGGAUUUCAACAGGUUACUUCACUGUUUUACUUAAAGAAUAGAAAGAUCUAUCCUCGUGUUUGAUUUUUAUUUUAUUUUAUUUUAUAUUUGGCAGGAACUAGAUCUGCAUGUAUCAAUGCUGCAACCCUGGCCCUUUCAGAUGCUGGAAUUCCAAUGCGCGAUCUUGUUACUUCUUGUAGUGCCGGUUACCUUAAUAGCACACCUCUACUUGGUAAAUUUUUACGUUACUUUAUGCUUGUACAGCUCCUACAAUGCCAUUGUACUAAUAUGAUAUUGUAAUUCUCAUGUGAGCUUAUUGUCGCUGGCUUGUCAGAUUUAAACUAUGUAGAAGAUAGUGCUGGAGGUGCUGAUGUCACUUUAGGUAUUAUGCCGAAGUUGGACAAAGUGACUCUUCUUCAGGUAAUCUGUCGUAUGCGUUUCGCAAUAUAUUCUCACAAGCUUAAGUUACAAUUAUUGUGGUAGUUGGCAUCUACAGUGUCUUCUCUAGCGCGUUUUGUAAACCACUUAUUCGUGGUGAUCUUUGAUGCAGAUGGAUGCUAAAUUACCAUUGGAUAUUUUUGAAAAUGUAAUGCAACUUGCAAUUGAAGGCUGCAAGGCGGUUGCAACAUAUAUUCGAGAAGUAAGCAUCUUUUUGCUUAUUUUCCGCCCCUCCAGUGAUAAGUUCUGCCGUGUCAUGAGGCCUCUGUUUGAAUGACAGGUAUUACUAGAGAAUACAAAGCAAUUGGAGUAUCGACGAGGCACCUAGUUUCAAAUCAUGGUAAGGCCAUGUACAUCGUUUGCUAAUUGUUUUGGAAAUUUGAUACGUUUUAACAGUCACGGACAGUCACCCACUUACUCCGGUUUCAAGGUUUUAUUUUCUAUCCACCUGUAGAUUUGUGGUUGUUCGUAUGGAGUUCGAGGCGGCUGUAACAUGAAGACGGUGUUUGAUGGAGGAACAAGGCUUAAAAUUAAUGGGAACUUUAACGAAAAGCACCUGGUACUGUUCACUUUAACGAAAAACCACAUUUUUACACUAAAAAGUCAAUCCUGUUACUAUUUACUUUACCCUUUAUUUUGUCCUUAUUAUUAAAACUCAAAGUUUUCAAGCUCUUUUCAUUAGUUUUCCUUUAAAAUUAAGCAUACUCAGUUGAAGUAACGAGAGAGCUGUUUUUAGAUUCUGAAAAUUGUAUUUGUAACAUCCACAAUAUGGGCUCUUCUUGUAAAUGAAUAUCCUGACUAAAAGAUUUUAUAUCAAAGAAGAUACAUGUAACCAAGGAAGUCUAUAACUAGGGUGACCCUCAUUCAGAAAAUGUUCUCCUGUUCUCGAAAAAAUACAUGAUCACUCACAAUCAGAUUGGAUAUUAAAGUGGAGAACGAAUAGAUAUGAUUUUUAAUAUUUUAAUUUCAACGAUUUAUUAUGCUACUUGCAUAAAAUAAGCUACCGUUACCACUGUGCUUCCCUAGCUUUUUAUCUUUUCUGGAUCCACUUUGUGGGGAUCUUAGGGAUCCCCACGUCCUAACUGUUCAUCGUACAUUGUGUGGUUAGUUUUUGUCAGAUAUUAUUUGUGUUUAAUUUUAAAUAAAAAAGGUCAAAUGACUUCCGACAUUACGAUACAUGAUGAAUGGCUAAGAUGUGAGGAUCUCUAGAUGGGAUUCAAUCUCACUCUUUACACCAAUAUUAUUUGUAAUUAAAUUGUUAAUAUUUAUUUAAACCCAAAUUUACUACCUAACCACCCUCACAAAUCCAAUUCAAAAAUGUUAAAUUUAUUUUUACACCCAUUUAAAAUAUAAAAGAUCAAAAUCAAAUGAAAAGAGCUGGCAUGCGAAAACAAUGACACAAAGUAAGUAGCUGUUGUUGGUUUGGCUAAUUAGAAUUUAGAUUGCAGAGCAAAGACCAAUAUUAUCAGUAUGAUAUUAUACAGACGCACACAUGAAAAAAAUAAUUAAUCAAUGUUGUCUAUUAUCUAACUAUUAUAAUCUUCAACUCUCAUUAGGUAGUAGCAGUUGGAUAUGUAAUUCAAUAAAAAUGAAGCACAAUGUUACGGUCGUGUUAUGUAAUUAAGAAGUAGAAGACUUGGUAAUGGUGUUCAAAAAGAACAAGAAAGGUUUUUUAGCCAAAAUGAUCCCUAAGAUUUGUAUAACUCAUCACUUUGGUCCCUAAGAUUUAAAAUCAAUAUUAGUGGUCUCUUAGUUUGUCUAUCAUCAAUUAUUUUGGUCAUUCCCUAAAAAAUUAAGGACCAAAUGACAAAAAUACCCUCAAUUUAAUAAACAAUGGGCCGAAAUGAUUUGACAAAAAUUGAUUAUGGACCACUUCUAUUAAUUUCAAAUUUCAAUGAUCACUUCUAUAUGAAAGUGUCUUAGGGUUUUUGCCAGAACAGAACGUGGGAGAAAAAUUAUGUAACGGUUAUUUUUCUUGUAAUUUUAUCAUGUACUUGAUGGUAAUUAUGUAACAGGGUAACAAAGACAUUUCACAUUUAAAGUAAGUUGAGUAUAAAAAGAGGUUAUUUGGGUUCAAAUUAAAUUUUCCGAAAAUUUAAGGGGAAGAGAUGCUACCUCAACCCAGUGCCAGAGCAUACAACAAAUUUCUUUGAGGAUUUAUAGAGGAGGUCUACAAAUUGCUCACCAAAAUGGAUUGUCAACAAGGGGACUUGAACCUAGGUCUUUUUUUAGUGAAGAGAACGUUCUUUAGCAACUCAACCAAUUUUCGUUGGCAAUGAUAUUGAUACUUUUAACCUAAUUAAGAGGAGAAAAAGAUUUGAACUCGAGACGUAAUAAAUUGAAAAUGAAAAUUCCAUCCACUAACAAUUCACCACUUGCUACCCUAUAAAGAUGUUAAUUACUGUAACUAAGUAUGUAAAUGGUGUUUUUUUUUUGGGAUACUUUGGAUACGGUCCCUAACUAUCAAUAUUCUUUGAUUGAAACCUUGUUAGUUUUUAGUUUUUGAUUGAGGUCUCUGACAUUAAUGUAAUAAUGUAAGUUACUAUAUUUUUUAAAUUAAAAAUUAAAAAUUGAAAAUUGUAAUUGUUUAUAUUAAUGAGAUUUUAAAUAAAACCCAUAAUUUAUGGGAUUAAAAAUAAUAAAAUAUAAAUUAUACUCUCUAUUAUAUUGUGUGUGUAUACAUAUAUGUAUGGGUACAUUAACCAAAAUUAACAAAAAAAGUUAUUGUACCAAAACAUGGAUACAUUCUCAAAUCAAUGAAAAAGAAUGUACCCAUAUAAGUUUAAACAUGGAUUAAAAAAUUUGAAUGGAUUUUAUAUUAAAAAAGGGUACAUUUUACAUAUAACAAAUUGAUAUAUAUGAGAAUGGGUACAUUGAUGAUUAAAAAAAUUGAAAAAAUUAUAUGAAUGGGUACAUUUAAGAUUAAAAAAUUGAGAAUCUUUUAUAUAAUUAUAUAUAUAUAUAUAUAUAUAUAUAUAUAUAUAUAUAUAACUAAUAGGUACAAACUUAAUUUAAUUUAAUUUUUUAUUAUUUUGAAAAUGUUUGAAUUGAAAAUUAAUUAGAAGUUUAAUAGAGGUGUGAGUAUUAAACCCUAAAUUAAUUACUAAUUUUUAUAUUAAAAAAUUAUAUAAUAAACAUGUAAAUUCAUUAUCACAUUAAUGCUAGGGACUUGAAUCAAAAUUUGAGAACUAAUAAGGUCUUAGUCAAUGAACAGUAAGAACUAGGGACCGGAUACUAAUUUUUCCUUUUUUUUUUUUUAACGCUUUGGGCAUCUUGUGUCCUCAAGUUGAUUGAUGAGCCGAAAAAAAAAGAAGGAAAAAGAUUAAACUUCUAUUAUUUCAAAAUUUAAAUCCUAAUAAAGUGACCAAACCUAGGAAUCCAACUGCUUAUUGUUUGAUUCCACGGUUAAUUGCAGGACCCCUUUUGUUAGAGGAUAAAUACCCACAAAUUCGAGGUGCUUUUACCAAGUACAAGCAUUUGGACCCUCAGGUAUGGUAUUUUUGGCUUGCUUGAAAAUAUUUUUAGAAAGAUACGCAAUUUGGUCAUAAACACUUAGACGAAAAUGCUUCAUGUCAAAUAUUUAGAAGUUAAAUCUCAAGUACUUUUUUGAAAAAUAUUUAGAAAUGCCUCCUCAAGAACUUAAAAGAGCUUCAUGAAAUAAUAAAAACCUUGCAGAUGAUAACCCUUAACAAUUCUACGUUUUCUUCCAAAAGUUGUCAAAAUGCUUUUGAAUAUUUCAAAUCAUUUUAAAAACAGACCUUAUACAUUGUGGAAAGGAUCAAGAGAUUUUUGUAUUUUGGGAACACCAUAGUUAGUCAUAUUAAUUUGGAUGACCAAUAUUACAUGUAAGACCAAACCUAACCUUGGGCUAAAUACUAUUUUUUAGGUUUUCUUCCAAAAGUUGUUAAAAAUGCUUUUGAAUAUUUCAAAUCAUUUUAAAAAAGACCUUAUACAUUGUGGAAAGGAUCAAGAGAUUUUUGUUUUUUGGGAACACCAUAGUCAUAUUAAUUUGGCUGACCAAUAUUAUGUGAAAGACCAAACCCAAUCCUGGGCUAAAUACUAUUUUUUAGAUUUUAUUCCAAAAGUUGUUAAAAAUGCGUUUGAAUAUUUCAAAUCAUUUUGAAAAAGACCUUUGUGGAAAGGAUCAAGAGAUUUUUGUUUUUUGGGAACACCAUAGUUAAUCAUAUUAAUUUGUUUAACCAAUAUUAUGUGUAAGACCAAACCCAACCUAGACUAAAUACUAUUUUUUAGGUUUUCUUCCAAAAGUUGUUAAAAAUGCUUUUGAAUAUUUCAAAUCAUUUUAAAAAAGACCUUAUACAUUGUGGAAAGGAUCAAGAGACUUUUGUUUCUUGGGAGCACCAUAGUUAAUCAUAUUAAUUUGGCUGACCAAUAUUACGUGUAAGACCAAACCCAACCCUGAGCUAAAUACUAUUUUUUAGGUUUUACGAGAAAAUAUGCAUACGCGUUGCUGCAGGAACCUGUUGUUUCAAGUGUAAUCGGAUGAAUAAACACAUUUAAGUUGAAUAAAUUCAACACAAUUAUAAACAAAUAGAGGGAUACAUGAAUGAAUGGGGUCGAUAAGAUAAGCAGAUUUUUUUGUAUAUACAUUCAAGUGAGCUGACAUAUAAACACAUUGUACAAUAAGUGAGAAGAAACUGAACGUAUUUGAUUAGAAAGAGAUGGUUUCCAAAAAAGUUUUGUUUCCUUAAGAAACAAAGAAACUUGUAGUUCACAAAUAAAAUUUUAGUUACCAAAUCAAAAAAAAAAUGUGACUCUCUAUAUGGCUUUCUUACUACACAAAAAUAUCCCUUAGUUAAAGCAUGCCACACAUCAUCACAUUGCUAUUAUAUGAAGUAUAUUCCUCAGUGGCAAUUUGACCAUCGUUGUGCAUGUCAUGUCUACUCUAUGCAACUUAAUAUAUAAAAUUUAAUCAGCCCCAAACAGUCUCCAAAGCAUCUACAAACCAUUAACAUUAUUUCCCCAAUUUUAUUUCCCAAUUUUAUCAAAUGCUGCAUAAACAAUCACAAUUUACUCCCUUACAAUUUCCACCUAACUCCGAACAAACAAUAUUGAUAAAGGUUGUACCCAGUGCACAAGACUCCCGCUUUAUGCAGGGUCUGGGAGAGGUGAAUGUCGGCUAGCCGUACCCCCAUUUAUGGAGAGGCUGCUCCCAAGUCUUGAACCCGAGAUCUACCGCUCAUGGGCGAAGGCACUUGCCAUCACACCUAACUCCGAACAAACAAUAUUGAUAAGAAAAAAAAAAGUUCCUAUGCAAACAAAUUCUUCUAGAUGUCCAACCUAAUCCAUAUAUGGGAAGGCAAGCAAUCGGACGAGCAGUCAGACCAAGCAAAAUAAAUUUUACAAUUUAUCAAAACAGCAACUGAUUCUCCCGAAGAAAACGCACACACAUACCAACAUAUUAUUCAUCAUAUUCUAAGCUUUCAUUUUCGUUCUAUCUCUUUUGUUAUCUAAACUUAUAAUUAUCAAAACAACAAUAGAAUCAUAGAGAAACUUUCAAUCAUUUAUCAAAACUGAAUUAAUUAAACUUCUGCUCAGCAGUCCGUUAAUUUUAAUUGCAACUCUCAUUCUAAAAUUUUAAAAUUUUGCAUUUGAAUAAUCAAAUGCACUUACACAUUACAUUCCUUUUAUUGGUUCUUGACAAAAUACAUUUUAGGAUUGAUGUUACAAUAAUAUCAUUGCAAACAUGAAUCGCGAUAGAUAUAGAAACCAAACUUGCACACAAAUGUUUGACUGAAUUCAGAACCACUUAAUUCAACAUAAAAAAAUUACAUCACAUGCUUGCUCCCCUUCUGCUCUCGCAUCGUCGGCUCCACUUCUAAAUGAUUAAUGAAGUCCUAAAAACAGAACAAAAAACGUUUACCAAUCCAACAUUUCAACACAUGGUUUUGGCAGGUAUAACAUUUCAACAUAAGCAUGAUAUAGAAAGACAGAAAUCCACAUGUCACUUUGUUUUUUCAGAACCAACAAAAGGGGCAACUAUAAGAGAAUGUAACCAAUUUUAAAGAGUAAAUAAGUCUCCCAAUAAAGGAGAACAAUGUCGGCGGUAGACCAAGAGUAAGUACAACCCAACUGCAGCAACAAAAACACAAUUGACUUUCACACUACAAAAAUAAAUAAUAAAAAAACACAUACUUGCACCCAAUGCAAUGUUUUUUUUCUUUCUGUGCAGUAUAAGAAUAAAAAAGGAUAACAUUCCCCUGAAACCAAAUUCAUCCCCCAAUUUCUUGCAACAAAGAGGGAGACCAACCUUGUGUUCUUGGAGAACAGUACAACAAUUAGACACAACCAGACUGAUCCAAGUUCCCGCUAUGAUAAUGAAAAAUUAAAAUUAAUAAAAUAGCUCAAAUCAUAUCACAGUAUGUCACAAAGUACACCAUUGGAUAAUCAAUAAAUUUAACAAAAAUGGAUUCAACUCGCUCCAAGGUAAGCAAGCUUAUUAAUCAUUUUGUCAUAGUAGUAAUUGAACUUGAAAUUCCCCUCUAACGUGAUCAACCUUUUUUUAUCCACAGUUAAAAACGGAAAAGCAAAGGGUUAAGACAAUCAAAACUAAUGGAAAUUUUGAUAUUGUUUUAACAUUAACUCAGGUUGAUUUUGUUCACCAGCAUUAAUAAAACAAUUAAAUUAGAUGUAAGCCAAGUAACUUAGAAGUUAACCAUAUGAAAAAAGCAAUGACAAUCAAACUAACCUCUUCUUUUCAUAUGAAGUAUAAUCUGUUCUCUAUUUUGCCUUUGUGAAGAAUGCACUUUGCACUCCCUACACACAAAAUAGCAUACAUUGAAAAUGCCUAGUAACAUUAUAAAAACUAUAAAUAUAUAGUACUGCAUAUGUAUCAUAUACUAUAUUGUAUACGUAUUUGGACAUAAGGUAUAAAGAUUUACUAACAUAAUUAAGCUUAAAUUUAACAAAAGAAGUAAUUACAAAUUGAAAUCAAACGAUACUAUAGUUAAUUCUGAGUAAAUUUUACAAAUAGUAUUAUAAAUUGUUAAAAAAAUAACACCAUUAAAAAAACUCAUUACUUAAAUCUGCAAUUCUAUUAAAAACACAUCACUAAAAAUUAACUCCAAGGAAAGGGGAUUAACAAAUUAUACCUUUUUAAGAGUUGUAAUUGUUUUAUCUAUAUGUUGAGCUUGACCCACUGGAUUUGAAUCCUCAAUUGACUUAGGGACAGGCACGAAGUCUAAGGUUAAACAUAUGGUAAAAAUUACACUGGAUCAAGGCAUGAUUAGAGUUGAUGGAUGCAAUAUGGAAUAUAAGUUUUUGGAGAGAGAGACAACCAAACUUCACACUGGAUCAUAUUUUUUAGAGAUAGAGAGAGUUCUACUUUUCAACAGCGGAGAGAACAAAUUCAAGCUUGGGCAUAAAAAGAAAAAAUAGAAGCUUCAUAGCACAAUAAUUAACCACAAUCCUCUGUUUUUCUAAGUGCAAAUAGAAAAAAGGAAUCAAAAUAUUCAACACAAAAUCUUCACAUUAGCUCAAAAACUAUAUUAUUUCCAGAGGUUUCCAAUUUCCCAGCACGGAACGACAAACAUAAAAGCAUUAAAAAUAUAUAAUUGCAAAAAAAAAAAUAACAAUUCCAAGAAACUAAAUGCAAAGUUAGCCAGAUCUGCACAGUAACACAAACCCAUUACUUGAAAUUAAGAGCAUUGCGGCUCACCCUGAAAACACCCAUUUUGCGUGAGGAAGAGAAGCGAUGUUGCUCUGGCUGCUGAGUGCUGCUGGCUCCAAAGCAGUUUGUCUUCCAAAACUUUAUAAGAGCAAGUCCAACCCUUUAAAGCCACUGUAAAUCGCCAUGGAUUUACAUCAUUCUGCUUGCCUAAAAAAAGCAAACAAAAAAAGAAAAAAAUGGGAAGUAUAAAAUUCAAAUGACCCUUGAUGAACAUAACCCAGAAAUUUUCCUUGUAUUCCAUAAAUGCAAUAAAACAAAAGUCAGUGUCUCCAUUUUCCAAACAACCAAGCAAGCAAGCAACAAACUUCGAAAACCCUAAUUCGAACCAAUUUAGAACUAUAACCAAGUAAACCACUUAAUAAAAAAAAACCCACUAAUUUUCUCAAAAACCCAACAAAUUUAAAGGAUACAGAUGAUAAAUCCCCGUAAAUUCCCAAAUUUGAAAACCAGAAGAUAAAAAAAAGGCAAAGAGGCUUAUCUUUAUUCACUAAUCGGACACUAACAGAAAAAACUCUAAUUCAUAUUAUUCAGAUUACAAAUACACAGGGACCAUAUAGCUAAUAAUGCUAGACAAUUUGUCCCUAAUCCAACACAAAAAUUGUUCUGGUUAUACAUACGAUACCCGCCUAAAUAUCAACCAAUUCCAAAUUAAAAUGGAAAAUGAAACGGAGCAACAUAAAUUGAAUACAAUUUGGGGAAAUUUUGGGGAAAAUUAUCUCACCUGGAGCUCCGAAUCUCCAAGAGGUCCCGAUCCGAGCAGGCUCCGAAUUGGGUUGCUGAAGAUGGUGAUCAAGGAAGGGUUUUAGAGGUGGGUUUGAUCAGAUCAAAGCCGAAGCCAUUAGGUUUGGGGGGAGAGGAACACAGAGCCACUGUGAGAGAGAGAGAGCAUGCGUUGUCUUUUUCUUCUAUCCAGCCACUCGAUCGCAGUUCCUUCACAAAAAUUAUAUGCAUGUGUUAGUUUUUCAAGUUCCAGUUUUGCAGUCACCUAAUCGAUCAUAACACCAUUUGCAAAUAUGACAAACAUAAACAAUUAAGUCAGCAACAUGAUAUGCCAUCCCUUUCAUAUUGCAAUUAUAUAAAGAAAAAAAGAAAUGAACCAAAAUAAAAUUAUACUAUAAUCCCAUUAUAUGAAGGCCAAACUCUUGAGUUGGGGCUGGUGGCCGUUGACCACAUCAUCGCCUCCAUUUGAGAGAAAAGAGUUUGUUUGGCUCUUUUGUCCAAUUAUUUACUCUAACCGUAUUUAAAUGAAGAAGGACAACACCUAUGUUGCUCCAUUCUUGUGAUCUAAAUUUGAAGACGGCCCAUUGGGAGGGGCAGUUAUAAGUGUCAUCCUUUUUGUUUCUCCUAUCCCUGGAUUGUCAACAAAAAAAAACAUCAAACGAAGUGCAAUACAAUCCAAUUUAAUGAUCACAAAAUUUGAGCUCCAAACAAAGUCACAGGUCAGCAAUCACCUAAUUGAUCAUAACACCAUUCACAAAUAUGAAAAACAUAAACAAUUAAGUCAGCAACAUGAUAUGUCAUCCCCUUCAUAUAAACACAGAUUGCAAUUCAUAUACGCCACAUUAUUUACAACAAUUACAAAUCAAGAAACAAUUAAAUCAUCAUCAUGAAUUACAAUGUAAUAUCAACACCAUCAAUUAGAAGAGACAAAGCUACAUGGCAAUAAACAUACAGAGAGGAACUGCUUCAGAUCCUUCCCAAAAGUAAUCUUCGGCAGGAUAACAAAAGAGCGGUUGAUCUCUGAUCUAAUUGCAGACGCAAUCUGAAGAAUCGACUUCUAUGGAAUUUGAACUUGUGAAAUGUGGGGUGGAUACCUGAAUGUAACAAAUUGGUGGUAAGUGAAUAAUUCCAUACUUUUGAAAUUUAGAUCAUACGCCUGAACGCAAACAGAAGAAUUAAACAAAGAAUCGAAGGCAUAUGCAAUCUAAUUAGACAAAUAAGUGAACUUUCCCAUGCCAAAAUCCGAAAGGCCAACAGAAAUCUCUCAUUACAGGACGUAAUACAUAACUUAAAAGACAAAACUUAAAACUAAUUAAAAUUAGGUGAACCAAUUGAAGAGAACAUAACCCUUGUAACCAAUCCGGAAAAGAUGCUUUUAAAUCCCAGAAAAAAAAAUUAUGAGGAGUUUUUAAAAAAACCAUCAUUUCAAUUAUUUUGCCGUCUUACAUUUGGGAAUAAACAGAAAAUAUAACUAAAAAUGCCAACUUUCUCAUAAAGCUACAACUAUUUUAACAAAUUUCCAUCACUCAACACUGAAAAAUGAGAAUCACGAAGCAACGAAGAACGGAGCACGCUAGAAUUGAAACAUUAAAAACAACAUGUACCCAUUUCAAAGACCAAAAAUCCUGCAAGGACAAAAAAAAAUCCGAGAAAAUCAGUACAUCAGUACUCCCUGCAAAACCCCAAAAUUAGAAAAUUAGAAAAAGAACCCAAAUCAGUGGCAUGGUCCUCGUUCCCCAUGCCUUAAUAGACUCUGAAACUUUUGAUUCUGUCUCGGCCUAAAUGCAGUUACUUAUCUUAUUACUUGGAUUAUUCUAUUUCUAUUGGCAUCAAAAUUGAAGAAACACAAAGUUAAUCCCUAAAAUAAACACAAAAUCCAGAUAAAAACAAUAGGUGGUUGUGGAAUCAGAAACCCUAGGGGUGCAGAACAUUACCCACUGUCGUCGAGAACGAUAACCUUGAGCAACGUUCGUAUGCACAAUGACAUGGCGGAUGAAUUUAAACUGAUAUGAAUCGGAAAAAAAAAGCCGAAAAAUCAACUUUUUGGAUAGUGCCAAGGCGAUUGACUGGUUGAUGUUUUUGAAUUUUUCCUUUUGUUUUCUCUUCUCUUUCCAAACUUUUAAUCCGGGCCGUCCGAUCUUAACCCUAGAUGGGCAUUCCCAUCAUUAAAUUGAGGUAAGCCCAGCAAACACAGCCCAAACGGAACUAACCCAGCCACCUUCACCCUAGUGGCAAUUUUGUAAAUAAACUGAAAUGUCUUACAAAACACUGUUCAUUUGUACAGUGCAAUUUCAAAGCCUUCUUUAGACUAAAGUAAUUCCUCCCCUAGGUUUGGAAUCUCUUCAAAUCCGCGUGGAUCAGAAGAGAUCUUUCUUCCAGUAGCUAUUAAAGAAAUCAUGUCUUUCUUCACGUGGAUGAAAGCGUGCAUCCAAAAAGCCAUUCAAUUUGGAUGAAAGUAUUCAUCCAAAUUUCCAUAUCUGUUCGUUAGAUAGAAACUGAUGUAGUUUAUUAAAAGACAUCUUUCUUCCAGUAGUUUCUAAAGAAUUCACGUCUUUCUUUAUGUAGCUGUUAAGCGAAGACUUAUAUCUAUUCCCUUUUUUAGCACAAAGAUAUACAUCUUUCUUCCGGCUUGAAGAGUAGUUGUACUUCUUCCUUCCGCACAAAGAGUUAUACCCUUCCAGCAAUUGGCACAUACAAUGUUUUCAAGCCCAAAUAAUAUAUUUCAAUACUCAGAUCAUCACAACUUUAAUAAUAUGAUUUUCGUAACGUAUAUAUAUUUUGAAAUAUCCCCAUAGUUAGCUAUUGAAAUUUAUUUUUACCGAUAAUUACUAACUUUUUUUUUUUUUUUCUUUUGAGAAGAGAAAUGAUAGUGGUUUUAUUAGAAUUGGAAAAAGCUCAUACAGUUUCUAAAAGGGCGUCUAGAAUCAAAUUCAAAGAUUCCUCAAACCAACAAAAAACAAAGUUCGAAUAAGUAGCCAACUUGACCAUACGGUGUGCCGCUACAUUGGCGGAUCGACCAACAUAGCAAAUUUGCGAAGCUUCAAAUCCCUGCAAGCUAACUCUGAUGUCCUCCACUAAUAAAUCCAUGGGAGAAGACCCCUGCUUAAGACUACAAUAGCUUGAACAACUUGCAAAGUAUCACUCUCAAAAUAAUCCUUGGCAAAUUCCAUUGCAUAGCCCAACAAACACCAUUACGAACAGCAAUCAAUUAUACCAUUGUGGGAUUUGAUGCAGGGGAUAUUUGACGAACAAAACCUCCAGCAUAGUUACCUGCUUCGGCUCGAAAUACCCCACCUACGCCUCCCAGAUUCGUAGCAACAAUUAAAGAACCAUCCACAUUAAUCUUUAUCCACCCAGGUGGAGGGGGACACCAGAAGGACGAUGCUUGUAUAGGUCGAGAUUGGAAUGUAGGCUUAUCCUUGGUGAAUUCAUCAAGGUGCAGUUUGGUUAAAUGACUUACCAAAGCCGGAUUCUCAACUUUGGCAUCCCAUAGCAGAGAGUUUCUUGCACGCCAAAUCGAAUGAAUGAGUAUUAGGAAUAAAUCCAGCUAACUAGUAGGGAAGAAACACACAAAGACACCCAAUCACACACAGAGGAAUACACCAGAGGCCUUGGACCCAAAUUCAAAUGGGAGGAGAAAUAUGCCGCUCGGGCAAAUGGGCAAUCACUAAACACAUGUAGCACCAAUUCAGAAGAGGAACUACAAAGAAUACAAAUAUUGUCCACCGCCACCCCUUUUUCUCCAAAUUAGUGCGAAUAGGUAGAAUGUUGAGGCAAGCCGUCCAAAUGGACAUUUUCGCCCUAACUACCAGGGAGAUUAGCUUUCCACCGUAAUUCUAGCUAGCUCAGUUUUUCAAAAUAUAUAAUGUUCUUAAAAAAAGUGAGAAUUCAAGACUAAAGCAAACAAUUUUACAUCUUGAAAUAUUCCAAAAAUUUCCAAUAAAGAUGACACUAGAGUUUCUAAUUUUAUAUCUUCAGUUUUACAUCCUUGCAUUGAAGUUGAACCAAUCGAUUGCAAUUAGUCAUUUAAUGAGAAAUUAAGAUGUCUUAUUGCAUAAUUAAUCAAUUAUUUGUUUACUUUUAAGACAUUAAAUGCAUGGACUAUAAACAAGAGAGACCACAUUGUUUGAAGGAUAAUACUUGGGUACUCACAAGGGAGGAUGAUUCUCUCCCCUCAUAUUCCCAUCCCCUUACCUCCCCUCCUCUCACAUAUUGUUUUUUUGUCUUAUAGUCUCUAUAAAAAAAAUCAAUAUAAGAUGUUGACGUGACUAAAUCGUAACCGUUCAAAUAGGAGGGAAGAGAAGGAAAGAAAGAUUAGGAGGGGAGAUAAUCCUCCUGCACUCACAAGGGAGUAGCCAAAAUACCAACCAAAUGACAUGGAUCAAUAAGAAUUUAACACAUGUAAUUUUUUUCAAAAAAGAACCAAACAUCGUUCACGCUUAGAAGCCCAAAGGUUACCGGCGUCUUUUCCCAAUGAUGUAGUACUUCCCUAUGAGUAUCCAAGUAUUAUCCUUGUUUGACCAUAUUCAUGUACACAUAAAAUGACAUUUGACACAUGUAACCAACAUUUAAUGAGAUAAACUUAUUAAUAGAAUGAUUUUCACACACACUUUUUCGGGAGCAUUUUUGCUCACCACCAUUCAACGUGGUGUAUGCUCACCACCUUAUUUAGUACCGUUAGAUGAGUUUGAAUUUCGAGAUUCGUGUAGUGGAUAAACACAAAUUUCAAAAUUCAAACUCAUCUAAAGGGUGGUGAGCAUACAUCACACUAAAUGGUGGUGAGCAAAAAUGCACUCCACUUUUUCUUUCUAGUCAUUGGUUUGAAUAAGACAAAUAGAUUCAUAGUCAAGAUUAAAUAUAAGUGGGUACUAAUAGGCUAAAAAGGGUGUGCGUUUUUCAUUUCUCACUUAUUCACAUCAUAUAAUACAUGAAUGUGGUAAAAAAAUAUGUGAUACCACUAGCAGUUUCCUUUUAAAAUUUGACCAGAAACGGACUAUUUAUGGAGGCUUGAUACUUUCGCUUAUUCGACAUGCACAAGGAAAGCCAUGGCGGCUUCAACUAUGAAACUAACGCUCUUCUUACUCCCUUUGUUCUUCACCUUCUCCCUAAUAAUCUCAAGCCACCACCCACUAGAUCCUUUAACCCCAUCUGAAUUCAAAAAGGUCCGAACCAUAGUAAAAAAAUCAUACCCAUCUGGCCUCAAACACAACCUAACCUUUCAAUACAUAGGUUUAGACGAGCCAGACAAACCAGUCCUCCAAUCAUGGCUUUCAUCAAAAACCAAAUCAAACCCCCCUCCUCGACGAGCCUUUGUCAUCGCACGCCUCCACAAAGAAACCCACGAGCUCGUGGUCGAUUUAUCCAAUCGUUACAUAAUUUCCGAUAAAGUUUACGGUGGAAAUGAUGGUUACCCUAUGCUCACCAACGACGAACAAACAGCGGCAAGUGCACUUCCGUUUUCCUAUCAACCAUUUAUCGAUUCGAUUAAGAAGAGGGAGCUUAACUUGUCCGAGGUUGUUUGUACCACGUUUACAGUUGGGUGGUUUGGGGAGAAGCAUAGUAGAAGAGCAAUUAAAAUUCUGUGUUUUUAUAAAGAGGGCACGGCUAAUGUGUACAUGAGGCCCUUGGAGGGAGUAUCUUUGUUGGUUGAUCUUGAUGAAAUGAAAAUAGUGGAGUAUUAUGACAGGUCUAGGCUUCCGAUGCCGAAGGCUGAAGGAACGGAGUAUCGGCUGUCAAAGCAGAAGCCGCCAUUUGGUCCUCCGCUGAAUGGUUUUGUCAUCGAGCAACCGAACGGACCCGGGUUCAAAAUCGACGGGCACAAAAUAAGGUUAGCUUUACGUGAAUUUACUUUAAGAGAAAUGUGUGAUCACAAGAAAUUCCGCACAGAGGUUGAUUAUUAUCUUCAUUUCAACAAACCAUUUUUACGUUUAACACAUCCUCUUAAUUCUGUUAGUACUUGUUCAAUUCAGACUUGUGACUGCAAAGAAACCCCAACUUAUAAAGACUAAAAAAAGGUAUAUAAAAGAGAAAAACCUUGCAUAAAUGAUUUCCAUAAAAAUAAAAUAAAACACCCCAACUUAUGAUAAUGAAGGUGAACCGGAAAAUGAGUAUGGGUCAGUUAGCCUCAAUUAAUUAAGUGUUAGGUUUGCUUUCAUAAAACCAACAAAAAGAACCGUCUCCAAAAAGAACAGUUUUCAAGUAUUUUUUCAAGAUUUACUUGCAUUUUUGUAAAGGAUUGAUACCAAAAAUAUUUUCACCAAAAACGCUUUCAACAAUUUUAAAAGCAUUAUUCUUGACUUUAGUUGACUAGUUGGUUUGUCCCCCAGAAUUUUCAUAUGACAACAAACUUGAACGAUAAAUAUUCCACAAAUUAGGCGUAGAAUUGUCAUUAGACAUUACAAAUUAAAAUUUGCAACCUUGAGUCUUGACUAUGUAAUCACAAGACAAAUGCCGGCAAUAACCUGGCUAAUGUAUACGUGUGUUGUACAUCUUUGUCAACUGGUGAGUCCUUGACCUAAUGGACUUGAAGAUUGAAGCUCAUUGUCUUGUUAGGUGCCGCAUGGUAUUGAAUUGUUGAUUUUAAAAUAUGGAAUUACUGACUCGAAAAUAAGGAAAACGAUGGAUCCAUCUGGAGUACUAUGGUCAUAUAUUAAUGAGUAAUGCUAGGGAGAUCAAAUUUUUUAAACCAAAUUUGCAAACUAAAUGAUGUGGUUGAAGAUGAUUGGAUUAUUAAUUAAGUGUCGAUUAACGUGCUUGUUUCUUAUUUAUGACACAUCAUUUGAUUUGCAUUUUGAUUUAAAAAAUUUAGUCUUCCUAUCAUUACUCUAUAUUAAUGCAUAAAGUAUGAAUCCAUCUGGACCAUUAUUGUGCCGCUAAGUUAAGCUUCACCAGUGUUUGAUUUUCCCCCUUCCUCCAAUGCAAGGCUUAAAAUUUAGAAAUUGGAGUAUUGAUCUGAACUUGACCCAACUGAAAUUUUGGUUCAUAAUUUAAAAUUUUAUAAUUAAACGUCUCUAAAUUCGUCACAAUGUGGAGUUAUAGUUCUUUUGCAUAACAUUGUUCAAAUUUUUGUCUAAAAUAAAGGAUUACAAGGAAAAAAAAUAAGAGAUGAAAAUUUUAACUAAGUUACAAAAGACAGAUCAUUGAUCUAUAUUGUGACAAGCUCAGAGACCAUGACUCACAAAUUUUUAGUUUAUAAACCAAAACUCUAAUUGAAUCAAAAUUCAGAAGCCAAUACUCCAUUUUUUCUCAUCAGAAUAUGUGAUCGUGAUAACCAACACUAACAAUAAUUUUUUCGUAUUUUAAAACAUAAGAAGUAAAACAAAAAACAAAGAACAUGGAGGUCGAGACUAUACUAUUAAUUUUUGAGGUAUUCAUCAAUUUCCCCCCUGAACUUGUGACUAUUGGCCAAUUUCCCCCCUCAACUUUAAUUUGGCCAAUUUCCCCCCCAACUCUCAUAAUUAGUCAAUUUGCACCCUACUGUUAAUUUUUUAAUUUGAUCAUAAUUAAACAAGUGUGUGUAAGAAACUAAAUAAGAUGUAUGUUAAUCAUUUUCCUAUGUCUUUAUCCUAUUACAAAUAGAUUAAAAUUUAGAAUUUUACAAUUUAUCAUAGAUAGUAUUAUUACUCAUAAUAAAUCAGUAUGGAGUAAUUUUAUUUGAUUUUUUACUAUACAAAAUUGAUAAUGAAAAGGAUUGAUGUGUACAUUUUUGUAUGUGAAUACAAUUUUCUUUAUAAAAGUGAAAGCUAAGUUCAAGUAAAUUGCGGAGAAUCGAGCUUUAGUGCAAAAAUGGCUAGUCAAUUCAUAAUUUUCGACUCCUUAUUAAGAAUAACCCAUUUUAUUGAAAUAGGUCUGAUCCAUGAGUUUAGGAUUAUUAUUUCUUCUUCUACAUGCUUUAAACCCGAUUCAUAACUUUUUCUUAUAAUCAACCCAUAUCACAUACUAAUUGUAUUAUGUUUUUGUACAUUUUACCCUAUAUUAUGCAGGUGAGUUUAUGUUAAUUUUAGUACUUUGUUGGAAGUUAUUAGAAAGAUUGAAAGAAAAAAAAAUAGAUGGAAAAUUUAAAAAAAAUAACAGUAGGGUGCAAAUUGACUAAUUAUGAGAGUUGAGGGGGGAAAUUGGCCAAAUUAAAGUUGAGGGAGGAAAUUGACUAAUUAUGAGAGUUGAGGGGGGAAAUUGGCCAAAAUUAAAGUUGAGGGGGGAAAUUGGCCAAUGAUCACAAGUUUAGGGGGAGAAUUGAUAAAUACCUCUUAAUUUUUAGUUUUGGAGCCAAAAUCCAUGUUGGUUUAAGGCUUAGCUUUAACUUACUUUCUAUUCAUUAUGUUGUUUGUCUACAAUCACUCAUUAAUUUUCUGAUUUAUAAAUCCAAUAUUCAUUCAGCUGGGCCAAUUGGGAUUUCCAUUUGGGAUUUGAUGUUCGAGCUGGUCCAAUAAUUUCGUUGGCAUCAAUCUACGAUCUAGAAAAGGCUACAUAUCGUCAAGUAUUAUACAGAGCAUUCGUAUCCGAGCUUUUUGUGCCGUACAUGGACCCAACUGAAGAAUGGUACUACAAGACCUUCUUUGAUGCCGGUGAAUUUGGUUUUGGUCAACUGGCCAUGCCACUUGAGCCCUUGACUGAUUGCCCUGCCAAUGCUGAGUUCUUGGAUGCAUACUAUGCCGGGGAGGAUGGUACUCCUGUUAAAAUAUCUAAUGCUUUAUGCAUAUUUGAGCAACAGUCUGGGAGUGUCAUGUGGCGUCACACUGAAUCAGCUAUUCCUGGAGAACUGGUAAGGCAUCAAAUUGAUUUUUAACUUCAAGUUGAACAAGUCCCUUCUUGUAUUUCUUGUAGUUGUUCAUUUAUUAUGGUUGAUUGUUAAUUAAACAUAUCAAUUGUCGCGUUACGUCAUGCCAUUAGCCGAUGCAACAUGCAUGGUUUGAAUGUGUGGUCCAUUCUAGCAUUUUCUUAACAACAUGUGGAGAAAAAAUUUGGGUGAAAACUUUUCCUACCACGUUGCAGGUUGGGUGACACUAGGGAUGGACAAUGGUUAUGGCGGACGGAUAACCGUGGUUAUUUACCCAUAACCGUUUAUGUUCAUACCCGCAUAACCGUUUACCCGUUGGGUAAUUGCAUAAAUGGUUAUACCCAUACCCAUAACCGUUUAUAAACGGUUAACCAUACCCAUGACCGUGUACCCAUUUAACCAUAACCGUUUACCCAUUUAAUCAUAACAAUUUACCCACUUUUGAACCCGUUUAUCCUUUUUUUACCCAUUUACCCAUUUUUUCACCCGUCUACAUGUUUUUUUUUUAACAACUUGAAAAUUACAAAAUAAAAAUUUGUCAUCAUUUUCGUUUUCUAACAAUUAAACACUGUUACAGGUACAUUUUAUCAUGCAUUUCCCUAUUUUAAUCAUUUAAGUCCUCGUACAAUUCCAAUAAUUGAAAUAAUAAAUUACAAACGAUAUUUUUCUGCUACACCCAAGCAAAUCUUUAAUUAUAGCAUUAAUACAUGAUCACCAUACUGAGGACGAGGAGCGAUUCGUUUGGAGGUUGUUUGGAAUUGGUCGCGAUUUGCAGUGUGACCAUAUGAGAGGGCAGAAUGAAAGAACGAAAGCGACGAAGAGGACUGGGGAGUCGAGGAUGUGAGAGAGGAGGAAAUUAAAUCAUUUAGUUUGUUGUUCAGUUCUUAUUAGGAACUAAAGUUAUUUAGUUUGCGGUUCGGUUUCAAAACCGCAAAAAAUAAACCAUUCAGUGGGGUCUAAUUUAGUCCAUUCUGUUUCAAUUUUUGAUUUCAAGUGCCCAUCGGUAACUAAAAGCGUUUACUUUUGCCAUCGAGGUUUAAAAUUUUCCCUCCUCCAAAAUGUCCUUUGUCUUAAAGAGUGAGGGAAGUAUUUGAUUGGUUGUUGCAAAAGUGUGGGUAAAUGGAUACCCGUUAUAACCGCAAGUAAUACCCAUAACCGAUGGAUACCCAUUAUAACCGUGGGUAAUACCCAUAACCGCCCAUUUAAAUUUCAUGGAUAAACGGUUAUACCCAUAACCGUUUGUUCAUCUAAACGGUUACCUAUAACCGUAACCAUGAACUUUAAAUGGACGAAUAUCCGCGGUUACCCAAACUUAUGGGUAUUUUACCCAUCCCUAGAUGACACACACUAUCUAGUUAAAAUAUAAUAUUUCUUACAAGUUCUUAAUUCUGAUUCAAAUUAUCUUACACAUUUCAUGCCUGAAUUUUCAACCGACGUUGUUUGCCACUGUGUUGUAUUCUAACAUGACAGAUCUUGGUUUUACAGAUAACGGAGGUUAGGCCAGAACUAAGCUUGAUAGUGAGGAUGGUCGCAACUGUUGGCAACUACGAUUACAUACUCGACUGGGAAUUUAAGCCAAGCGGCUCCAUCAAAAUUGGGGUAUGAUAAUUGAUAAAGAUGGAUACUAUUUUAAUUUGUUUACCAUCGAUCGGCAUAAGAUUAUAUAUAAGAAAGGGAGCUGACUCGAGCGCUCUAAAACUGUGAUCUUGCAUUCAUUUUUUAUAAUAAUUCAGAGAAAAAGUAGACAUGGAGGAGUGAAUAAAUUGUCAUUAGGUGUUUCUGCGUUGCAGCUAAACCAUUUUCUUUUUCAAACAGGUUGGCUUAACAGGAAUACUAGAAGUGAAGGCUGCAGAUUACACUCACACUAGUCAAAUAAAGGAGGAUGCUUAUGGUACAUUGCUAGCAGAUUAUACAAUUGGGGUGUACCACGACCAUUUCUUGACCUAUUACCUGGAUCUUGAUGUGGAUGGUGAAGCCAACUCCUUUAUUAAAAACAAUUUGGUGACCAAAAGAGUGACAAACAAGAACUCACCUAGAAAGAGCUACUGGACAGUUGAAAGUGAGACAGCAAAAACCGAAUUGGAUGCAAAAAUUCAGUUGGGUUUGAAGGCAUCGGAGCUGGUUGUGGUAAACCCUAACAAGAAGACCAAACCUGGAAACAGCAUUGGUUAUCGUCUAAUUCCAGGGUCAAUAUCACAAGCACUUUUAAGCGACGAUGAUUACUCACAAAUCCGAGGUGCAUUUACCAAUUACAAUGUAUGGGUCACACCUUAUAACAAGUCUGAAAAAUGGGCUGGAGGACUAUAUGCUGAUCGGAGCCAUGGAGAAGACACACUGGCUACUUGGAGCCUCAGGUAUAUUUAAACAAUUAAUAUUAUUUAAUUAUAGAUACUGUUAAGGAGACCAUGUAAGAAUAGCUUACAUAGAUGAUUAUCAACUAACACAUACAAUCACAAUUAACCAGAGUCAAUACUAACACGCAAAAAUUAGACACACACCUGAGGAUGAAGAAGACAUGAUGCUUGAAAUAAAGAUAGUCUUCUACUCUCACAAAACUAUGCUUAUGCUUUCAAUAAGACUCAGCACACUAUUAAACCUAUAUUUGGAGAGCAGGGACCAACCUUUUUAUAGUCACAUAAGGCCUAUCGAUUCCACCUAUUAGGAAAACAAUAGGUCUCUCAAUAACUCAUCAUUAACUGCAAUAAGUCCCUUACAUUAUUAUUUUGAAUGUUUCAUAUAACCUACCGUUUACAAAACUCUAUUAACUUAAUCAAUACACUUCUAUCAAAAUAAUGAUUAUGUCUACUCAAAUUCUUACAUUCUCCCACUUGAGUAUACAUAAUCACAUAGUAUUUAACUGUAUAGAAUUAAGUUAACAGUGAUUGCUGAGUUUAUAUAACAAGAUUAUCAACUUAAACAUAGAUGUGAUCAACUAAAUCAAACCUAGAACUAUAAAAUGUUGAUGCAUAUCAGCUGCAUCAUUACUCUAUAAUCACCGAAGCUUAACUAAACCGAUCACAAAGCUACAUGCCAAAAAAUGUAGUAUUGGAAGUGACAAAUCUUAAUACUCCCACAUAAUUGGUCCAGACUUCAAGUUUUAAAAAAAAAACUUGUGUAUUGCAGUAUCAACAAAUAUAGCUCAUUACAGAAUGAGCAAACAUUGAAUCACAACAUGAAACAUAAUUGAGAGGAUAUCAACAAAGAAGUGGACAAGAUAAGUUUAUCAAAUGUAAAUAAAAAUAAUAACUUGCUCCCACUAAUGAAGAUCAUCAAGAUUCAACUACUCCCAUCUUCGACACAUGAUUCUUGAAUACUCCCACAGGCAAAGGCUUUGUUAAUGGAUCGGCCACCAUUGAAUGAGUGUCAAUGUGCUCAACUUCAACAACCUUUUUCCUCACUUCAUCUCUUAGCAACAAAUACUUUGUAUCCAUCAACCUUGCAGCUGAGGUUUUCUUAUUGUUCUUUGAAAAGAACACAGCUGCCUUGUUGUCACAAUAAAUCUUCAAAGGCUUUUGAAUCGAAUCAACAACCUUCAUAACAGUCACAAGAUUUCUGAGCCUGAAUGCUUGUUUAGAUGUUUCAUGACAAGCAAUGAACUCUGCUUGCAUUAUCGAAUUAGCAACACAUCCUUACUUAGCACUUUUCCAAGAAAUUGCUCCUCCAGCCAAAAGAAAAAUAAAGCCACUAGUCGACUUUCUAUCAUCUGUACAACCAGCAAGUUUUGAGUCCGAGUAUGCAACCAUUUCAAGAUUUUCCACUUCGCUAUACACCAACAUGUAGGCCUUUGUUCUUUUCAUAUACAUGAGCACCUUUUUAGCAGCUAUCCAAUGAGGCUCUCUAGGAUUUGAUUGAAAUCUGCCAAGUACGCUAACAGCAAACGCCAAGUCCGGUCUAGUACAAACUUGAGCAUACAUUAGGCUUCCCACAAGUGAAGCAUAUGGUUUAUCUUUCAUCUUUUCCUUCUCCAGAUCAUUUGCAGGACAUUGAUCCUUGUUUAGUUUAUCUCCUUUUCCCAUGGGCAACUCACCAUUUGAACAUUUCUCCAUGAAUGGGGUCUCACAGAGUCCUCUAGUCCCGUUCCGGCCCUCUUGAGAAUUCUAUCAAUGUAAUUCUUUUGUGAUAAUCCCAGGAGUCGUCUCGUUAUGUCUCUGGUUAUUUCAAUUCCCAGGACAAAAUGAGCUUCCUCUAAGUCCUUCAUUUCGAAGCUACUAGACAACAUCUUCUUGGUAUUCAUUAGUAAUUGCAAAUCUGAACUUGCCAAUAAGAUAUCGUCAACAUAAAGUACAAGAAAAAUGAAUUUAGAACCACUGACCUUGAGAUAAACACAAUCAUCUAGCUUGUUUUCCACAAAGCCAAAAGAUGUAACGAUCUGAUCAAAUUUGAUAAACCAUUGUCUGGAAGCUUGUUUCAAACCAUAAAUUGAUUUGUUGAGCUUACAAACCAUAGAUUCUUUCCCCCUUUCAACAAAUCAUGGAGGUUGUUGCAUAUAUAUAUUUUCAUCAAAAUCCCCAUUAAGAAAAGCAGUUUUGACGUCCAUCUGGUGAAGUUCAAAAUCAAAGUGAGUAGUAAGAGCCAUAAUGACUCUCAUAGAAUCCUUGGAAGAAACCGGAGAAAAGGUAUCAGUGUAGUCGAUACCUUCUCUUUGAGUAAAACCUUUUGGCACGAGUCUUGCUUUGUGCCUUUCAACUCUUCCUUAAGUGGUUUUAAAGACCCACUUACAUCCAAUGGGCUUGAUGUCUGAAGUUCUUUCAACUAGUGUCCAAACUGAAUUCUUUUGCAUAGAGUUAAGUUCUUCCUCCAUAGCGGAUUUUCACAAUGCAUGAUGCUCACUGUUCAUAGCUUGAUUAAAUGUAAUUAGAUCACUCACAUCACCAAAAUCAUAUUUUGUCUCCUGUAAGUAUACCACAUAAUCAGAAGGAAUUGCAGACUUCUUUUGUCUCUGAGAUUUUCUGAUUGAAAUCACUUCAUUAUGAUCUGCCAUAUCAAUUUCAUUGGGCUGAUGUUCAUGAUUGACAGUUCGGGGAUCAACUGUAUCAUGAUUAGCAUGUUGUUCGUGGACUUGCACCUGUGGAUUUGAAACUACUAGUGGCUAAUAAUUUCAGUAUUAGCAACAGAUGUAUGAUCACUAUCAUUAAUCUCUUCAAAAGUGCAUUGCUCAGCAACAUCUUAUGUACAUGCAUCUUCUAUAAACUUGGCAUUAUGCGUUUCAUGGAUUCUGGUGUGCAUAUUGGGACGAUAAAGUUUAAAGCCUUUGGAUCUUUUGGCAUAGCCAAUAAAUCGACAACUAAUUAUUCUUGGAUCCAACUUCUUUUCGCUUGGAUUAUAGAUUAUAGCUUCAGCCAUGCAACCCCAUAUUCUAAAAUGAUUAAAGCUAGGCUUUCUACCAGUCCAAAUUUCAAAGGGAACUUUACUCACUGACUUACUUGGGACUCGGUUCAAAAUGUAGUUGGCUGUCUUCAAUGCUUCUACCCAUAGAAAAAUGGGUAAUUUGGACUGAGAAACAUGCUUCUGAUCAUUUCUUUCAGCGUCCUAUUUCGUCUUUCAGCAACAUCGUUUUGUUGAGGUAUGCCGGGAGUUGUGUACUGAGCCACAAUUCCAUAUUUCUCCAGAAACAGGGAAAAUGCUCCUUUUUGUUGUCCAGCUUUAGUGUACCUAACAAAAUACUCAUCACCCUUAUCGGAUCACACAAUCUUAAUAUGUUUAUCAAGCUGUUUUUCAACUUCAUUUUGAAAAUUUUUAAAACAUUCUAACACAGCAGAUUUUUCAAAUAUUAAAUAAACAUAAGAGUAUCUCAAAAAGUCAUCAAUAAAGGUGACAAAAUAAGAAUUUCCACAUAUUGUUUUAGUCGGGAAUGGACCACAAACGUCUGUAUGGAUUAUUUCUAAGAGACUUAGACUCCUUGUAGAACCAAUUUUUCGAACAUUUGUUAAUUUUCCCUUAAAACAGUCCACACAUUCAGAAUAAGCAUUUAAAUCUAUUUUUGAUAACAUGUCAUGCUUUAUCAAUUGCGUAAUCAUUUCUUUUGAGAUAUGUCCUAAUCUUUUAUGCCAAAGCAUAUAAGAUUUUGCGUUAAUGAGCAUUCUCUUCGAACCACUGCAUUCAACAUUAAGGCAUUCAUCCAUAUAACUGCAAUCUAGUUGCCAUAAAUCAUCUCUAAGAAAAGCAGUGCAAAACAAACACUCAAAUUUAUUUUUAUGAUAAAAUUUGACACUCUCAUCGUCUCCAACAAAAGAAUGACCUGACUUGACUAAUUUUGAAGCAGAAACUAAAUUCCUUCGCAUGGAAGGUACAUAAAGGACAUUAUUGAGUUCUAAAACGAAACCUAAAGAAAACUUUAGUUUGACAAUCCCAACAAACUCGAUUGCUAGCUUUGAUCCAUUCUCAACGAAAACAUUGUAGAAUUCCUUAUUUCUUCCCUCCUGUUUUGUGAAGCUCUGCAAAGAAUUUGUAAUGUGUACAAAACAACCAGGGUCAAACCACCAAGAGUUUUGAGGGACUAAAAUCAAAUUUGACUCUAAGCAAACAAAAACAUUUAUUGUACCUUUUUUAACAAGCCAUUCUUUGAAACCCUCACAAUUUUUCCUUAAGUGAUUAGUCUUUUUGCAAAAAAAAAAAAAAAAAGCUUCAUUUCUAUUUUCUUUACAUUAAGAUUAUGUCCUCCUCUAAGGGGGUUAGCAUUCUUAGAAGGCACAUUUGAAGCGGCAUAAGAAGAAUCUUUAAUAGCCUUACCAGAGAAAGAAGAUGCAACCUUUUUACCCUUUGUAGCAUGAACCAAAUUCACUUCUUCAGACUUCUCAUUUUUCUGUCUUUCCUCCUCUUGAGCACAGAUAGAUAUCAGAUCAUUAAUGUCCCAUUUCUACUUUUGAGUAUUGUAGAAGACCUUAAGUUGUCCAAACUUGGCAGGUAAAGAAUUCAGUGCCAUAUGAACUAAAAAUUGAUCAGAUAUUGGUACCUCUCUUUGAGUUUUCCAGCAGUGUCCGCCAUCUUCAGAAUGUGCUCUCUAACACCGGUAGUGCCAUCGAACUUCAUGGUGGUGAGUGAGGUCAGGAAGUUUCCAGUUUUAUCCUUCUCUGAUUCUUUGAAUUUUUCGCCAAUGGCUUCAAGAAAGUCCUUGGCCUUGUUACAUGUUGGAAUUCCUCCCCUUACAGUCUCAGUCAUCGCCUUUUUCAUGAUUAAAAGACCCAUCCUGUUGGACUUCUCCCAUUUUUCAAACUUGGCCUUUUGCUCAGCAGUGCUUUCCACGGUAAGAGCUGCAGGCUCUUCCUCCCUAAUUGCCAGAUCAUAAUCCAUGAGACCUAAGAGGAUCUCAAUGUCCUGUUUCCAUUUCUUGUAAUUACUUCCAUUCAAAGUCUCUAUGCUAGAGAAGUUCAUGGAAGUAGUGUUUACAACUGCGGAAAAACAAAAGUUUGUGAUUAAUAGGUUCAAGAAUUUCUAACAACAAUAAUGUUAAACCAGAAAACUAUUAAUAACAUGUUUAGCUGGUUUAAAAACAAAAGCUUAUAUCAUUAGUAACACCUUUGGGCAGAGACUGAGGAUAUAAUCAAAAGUUGCAUAACCAAAACAGAGAACACUUAAACAUAUAUAAAAUUCAACACCUUUGUGGUAGAUGAAAAAUAUACAAUCUAAAUAUUUCAUGCUUCAUUAUACACUGAUUCAUAGUUGGGCUAGACAAAUAAUUCCUUUGUGGAAAAAUGAAUCUAUCGAAUAACAUACAAACCACAAGUUGAAUUUCUUAGCAAUCUAAUAAGAAAACAAAUAAAUAAUCCACUUUAGUAGAAAAUCUCAUUGUGUCUUAAAAGAUUAAAUCCAAGUCCAGGUUGUUGUCCUAAGAGACAAAAUUCAUCAUAAGAAAAAUCGAUGAAUUGCAUAAUUGUUGAUUCAAACAAAAUAAUCAACAUGUUUCUUGUAUUUAAUAGAAUAAAACCGUACAAAAUCCCUAAUUUUAUAAUUUCUUCAAUUAAAUGAUAUGAACUUGUUACUUCAAAUUAUUCCAGAAAAAAAAAAUUUCAUCCCAGCAUCAUCAAUAAACCAAGAAAAAUUAAAAUUAAUUGAAUUUGGGGAACAAAAGAAGUAUAUAUACAAGCAAUUGAGACGUCGUAGCAUACCUUAUCUGAUUUAUUUAUGAGAAAUUGCGAUAAGAAAUCCAUAGUAUAAACAUGAUCAUGAUGCGGAAGCAAGAAAAACAGAAAGCCCAGGACGGGGAACGAAAAAAUUAAGAAGGAAGAAGACAGAUUUCUACCUUCCAUAGCAUAAGGUUUUCGAAUAGGCUGAAUAGCUUAGGAUAAGAACCAAAGCAUCAAGUCUUUAAAGCAAAAAGCAAGCCGUUAUAUAUAUAUAUAUAUAUAUAUAUAUAUAUAUAUAUUAAGGUUCUAAAAAACGCUAGUCGGGCGGCCAGCUAACGCCUAGCUCCUAGGCACCUAGGCGGUCAAGGCGGAUUUAAGUAUAUGUGUAAAAUUUUAGAACUUUUUAUGUUAAUUUUGUAACAUUUAGUCAUCCCAUUUAUUUUAAUCAUUUGUUGGGCCUUUGUUUUUCAUUAAAAAUGAACUGGGCCUUUGUUUUUCAUUAAAAACAAAUUCGGCCAUGUUUUAAAGGAAUGCCAUUCCUAGCCAAAAAAACCCUAACUCUAAUUAUCUAAAGCACAGCCACCCCAUUUCUCUACAGAUACCUCUACCUCUCUCUCUCUCUCUCCACCAAGCCAAGUCGUCCAUCUUCUUUCUUCUUUACCAAACCCUAACUCUAAUUACCUAAGCAGCCGCCCAAUUUCUCUGCAAUUGCAUAUACCUCCAUCCCUCCCUCCCUCCCUCUCUCCCCAGCCAAGCCGUCCCUAUCGAAACCUGUCUUGUCCAUCUUCUUUCUUUCUUUGCAAUUGUAGAUCGAAACCCGUCCUGUCCCUCUUCUUUCUUUCUCUGCAAUUACAGAUCGAAACCCGUUGGGAUGGUCGCCCAAUCGUCCAACCUCAUUACCAUAGCAGAAGAACGACGUUAUAAUCGACUUACCAUCAAAGCCGCCUAGCAGUCGCCGAUGCUGCCUAGCCCCUUCCAGCGUUGCCUAAUACCCUUUCCGAUUUCUUCGACGAUUUUGGUUUAAUUGCAGCGGCGAACCACCGCCCACCGCCUAGGCCACGUUUUAGAACACUGAUAUAUAUAUAUAUAUAUAUAUAUGUCAAACAAAUCACAAACAUGGUAGCUUUUGUACUUUUUAAUAAUUCCUUUUCAAUCUAUACUCUCUUACAGUAGUAUUGACAAAAAGUGAACUCUAAGUGUGUUGAUGCUCUGAUACCACAUGCAAGAAUAGCUUACAUAGAUAAUUAUCAACUAACACAUAGAAUCAUAAUUAACCAGAGUCACUAACACACAAAAAUUAGACACACUUGAGGAUGAAGAAGACAUGAUGCUCGAAAUAAAGAUAGUCUUCUACUCUCACAAAACUGGAUGCUUAUGCUUUCAAUAGGAGGUCAGCACACUACUAAGCUUAUAUUUGGAGAGCAGGGACCAACCUUUUUAUAGUCACAUAAAGCCUAUUGAUUCCACCUAUUAGGAAAACAAUAGGUCUCUCAAUAACUCAUCAUUAACUGCAAUAAAUCCCUUACAUUAUUAUUUUGAAUGUUUCAUAUAACCUACCAUUUACAAAACUCUAUUAACUUAAUCAAUACACUUCUAUCAACAUAAUGAUUAUGUCUACUCAAAUUCUUACAGACCAAACUUUUAAAUCAAAUUUGUAAACCAUACGAUAUGUAUGUGUGAGUAUAACAAUUUUAGACGUAUGUUUGUGUACAUUUCUUUUGUUCUAAAUUAUGUGAAAAUGUGCAGGAACCGAGAGAUUGAAAAUAAGGACAUAGUGUUAUGGUACACCGUGGGGUUUCAUCAUGUUCCUUGCCAAGAAGAUUUUCCAAUUAUGCCAACAUUAAGCGGUGGAUUUGAGCUUCGGCCUACAAAUUUCUUUGAGAGCAAUCCUGUGCUUAAAACGAAACCUCCAAGUUCUAAGCAUGUUAACUCCACAAUACAACCCUAAUUUCAGUAGUUUUCUUUUUCUUUUUCCCCUACUGAGACUUUUGUAAUAUGUCAGUACCCAAUAAAGAUGUUAAAUUUACUGUAAUUUACCCUUUUUUUAAUUAUUUUGUGUAACUAAAAGAAAUCUUUAUUUUAUAUACCAUCAAGUGGAUUCAUGAUCUUUUGUUUGGAUAGCUUCUAGGAAGUCAAAUACUUCAAGGACAAUACAUUCAAAGCAUCCAACUAUAGAGAAUGGUAAGAAGAGAUGGUAUCACUAGCAUGCAACUUAUAGAGAACUGGUUGAUCAGACCCUAUAUAAUUGACAUCUAAUUUCGUACCCUAGAGAUGCCAUAAAAAAGUAAGAGUCUUCAAUAUUGUAGAAACUUCUAUAAUAGAAACUUCUAUAAUAGAGAAACUUCUAUAAUAGAGAUGCCAUAAAAAAGUAGGAGUCUUCAAUAUUAUACUAAAAGUCUCAAACCCAUAAUAUACUCAAUAGUAAAAAUAAACCCUUGCGCGACAAAAUACGAAUCGUGACGCAAAAGGUAUUUGUGCAAAGAAAUUUUAAAACUCAUCACGCAAAGUAUAUAAAAAAAUAAAUAGAAUAAAAACUUUGCUCGACGAAAGCUAUAUAUUUCUUCUCAUAGAGACAAUGUAUUUUUCUUUUUUAUAUUUUAAAUUGUAAAAGGAAAUUUUCUUUUAUUUUAUUUUGCGUGAUGAAAUUCCAAUAUUUCGUCGAACAAAGUCUAUUUAGUUUCAUUUUUAUUUAAUUUUACAUUGUAAAUUGUAAAAAAAAAGUAUUUUCUUUAUUUUUUUUUGUCCGACGAGGUUGAUACAUUGUCGCCCAAAUAAAUAAAUUUAUUUUUGUUAGUUUUAAUUGUAAAAGAAUUUUUUUUAACUUUGCGCAACGAAAGUGAUGUUUCGUCACUCAAAGUAAAUUUAUUUUAUUUUUUAUUUUUAAUUGGUAAAUAAUUUUUUUUUAACUCUACAUCUCUAAAUCCCAAUUUUAUCGCACAAGAUUUGUUUAAUUUUAUAUGUUUGAUUGUAAAAGAAAUUACUUUUUUUUUUAACUUUGGGCAACGAAUCCAAAUAUUUGGUCGUGCAAAGUAAAUUUACUUUCUUUUUUUAUUUCAUUUUAUGUUUGAAAUUGUAAACGAAAAUUAUUUUCUUCGAUUUUUAUUAAUUAUUUUAUGAAAACUUUGCACAAAGUGUAUUUAUUUUAUUUUAUAUUUUUAAUUGUAAGAACACUUCCACCUGAUUACGCAUUUUGAGCGAUAAGACCAUGUUAAUCUUGUACAAGGAGGAUGGAAAAUGCACUUAAAUUGUAUUUUAGAAAAUUUUAAACGUUUAUACUUUCGCCUACAAGUCUUUCAAACUUUAAUACCCUUAUAAAAUAAUUGAAAAUAUCUAGAAUAGUUCAACUUCUUAUAAUUAUAUGCAAGCUUUUUUUUUUUAUGUGUGUGGGACAAUGAUUUUUUGAGGUUGAAGUAAGCCCUGGUUUGGUACUGCUUAGAUUUUUUUAAAGUUAAGAUGAAAAAAAGUUGAGUUUAAUAUUGUGUUUGGUAACUCAGCUUAUUUUCAAAGUUAAUGUGAGAAACAGCUGAAAAUGGGAAGCAGCUAUUUGCUUAUCACAGCAGCACAGGUGAACAGUAACCUUUAACGAAAAUUUUCAAAUGACGAUCGUACCCUCACCCCUCACCCCUCGCGUCUCACUUCUCCUUUCUCUUGCAUCUCACUUCUCUCCCUCCAGUCUUCCCUCAUUCACUCCCAGCAGCCGCCAACCUGAAACUUCUUCCUUCCUCUCAACGAUAUCUCUCGUUCUCCAGGUCACGUUCUCCGGCUCAACAUCCUUCAUCUGGUAAGCUUUUCUUGUCUAAAAUUUCUUUAUUUAUUUGUUUGGAAUUUUUAAAUUUAGGGAUGGCAGAGUGAAAAAAUUAAUUGGGGAAAAAUUAGGGUUAGAAAUUAACUUGAUUCUCGAGUGAAUACCAUGUAGGAGCAGUUUAGGAUAGAUUUAAAGGGGUCUCUCUGGGGUUCCGAGCUCCUAAUUUUGGGGCACCACAUAUAUACUUGUUCUUUUUAAAUUUUGUUUUGAAUUAUGUUCAAGAUUUGUUCUUUAUUUUGAUUGUUUGGGAAUUGGUUUUAGAUUCCGGAGCCCCUUACUGGGAAAGUUUGGAAAUUGGAAGACUUUUAAUCACAUCCUACUUUACUGGUGAGUUCUUGCUUUGUGUUUUUCUUCAAUGGUGUUUUGGAUGGUUAUUGUUUGUUUGAUUUUCUUAUUAUCUAUCAUAUUAUAUGUCAUGUAUUGGAUAUUGGCAAUUAGUUAGAGUGGAUUUUUAGAUUAAUUAACAUGAAUGAUGGGUUCUUAAAUAACAACUGCAACUGCAAAUGACAUGACAAUUGCUAUUUUAGUGGAAAUCAGAGGACGUUAAAACGUAAUGGUUGUUUAUGUAAUGUCGAAUUGUUUAGAAUAAGCUGCAGAGCUACCUGCAAUUUGUUCAUUGAUUUAGUCAAUGACCCUAACGAAAUAAGGUAGGUUCCUUAGAUUUAUAAGGCCUAUCGUCUGUCAUAGGGCAUAAGUUUCUAAGAGCUGCACAGCAAAUUGGGCAGAGGGGAAGGAAAGGUUGCAGGUCUGCGUGAUUACGAUGACUCGUGCCAGCUUGAUUCUGGUGGUGAUGUCGAUUUGCAUGACCACAAGGCUUCAAAGUUGCUGCAUUAUAAUUCUGCUUUUGAAAUUUUAUGCUUCAACUUUUAUUGGGUUUAAGUGCGGGUUGAUAUAUUUGAAUUUUUAAGUUGGCUUCUGUAGAGAUUAGAAGGUUUCUUAAUUAUCCAAAAAGGAAAAUAAAGCAUAUAAGUGGCUGUGGAUAGCUUACAUCCAUGUAUCCUAUGAUCUGGGGUCUAACUAAACUAUUGAGUCCCUGUAGAGUAUUGUGCAUUUGUACUGAUGUUUAGCUUGUGUGUCAUUCCCUCAAUGGGCAUCAUUUUACCUUGUGUGUCAUUUCCUCAGGGAUAGAUCCACAAUGUUUAUCCCUCAAAUAAAACAAUGUCACGUAUAUAUUUGUGCGUGUGGGUACAUAACAAUGCCAUGCCCUGCUUUAUUUCUUAUUAAAUGAACAUUUUAUCUUAUUAAGUUAGCCAUGGCCCUUAUAGACAAUCCAGGAUGGGAAGGCACUGCACAUGAUACAAGACUUUUUCUAUCCGUACUACGGAAUCCAAAUUUAAACUUUUCGAAGUCUCCAAAUGGUAAUCUUUAUACUUAUUAUAACAUUUUACAUACUUGCUUUGUAUAAUUAUUACAAUAUAAAACAAAAUUUUCAAUUUUCAAGAAAAUAUUACUUGGUAGAUGUGAGGGACUCACAAAUGAGAGGUUAUUUGGGACCAUAUAAAGGUGAAAGAUAUCAUCUCCUGGAUUUUCGUAGGGGUCUCGAACCAACGGGUCAUAAAGAGGUAUUCAACCACAUGCAUUCUUCUCUUAGGAGCGUCAUUGAACGAACUUUUGGGGUAUGGAAGAAAAGAUGGGCAAUUUUAAGGGAUAUGCCUAAUACAUGUUCAAUAAACAAGUGAAGAUUGUCAUUGCUACAAUGGCUCUUCAUAACUACAUAUGGAGGUAUUCUGAACGUGAUCUUCAUUUUGAUAACCCUUGGGACUAUUGUGAAGAGAGCGAUAUCAAGUUGAAGGAUCACAUGAGAUAGAAGCAUUAAGAAAUAGAAUAGCGGCAAGUUUGAUGAAUGCAUCUAAUUAGACUACUUUCAAGUACAUUAACAAUAUUGUAUUAUUGAAUCCUAGCUAUUUAGUCUAAAAUAUUUCAAUAGAAGUAGUUUUUCAUACUAAUUAAUAUUUAAGAUAAUAUUUAUAAAUAUUUUUCUUUUAAAAAUAAAGUAUAUUUAUUAAUUCACCUUUAUUUGUUAAGAAAAUUAAAUUAAUGGCACAUCCAGUAUUAUACCCUUUUUGGUCAUUUCAUACAGUUACAUCUGUUUUACAUAAAAGUUUACCAAAUACUAUAAUAUUACUUUUUCUCCAAAAUCACUUUCACAAAAAAUUUACCAAACAUUCUGCUGCUUUAUUUCACAACUGAUUAUUCUCACAGCACAGCAAAAUCAAUUUUUUUUCAAAGCACAACAAUACCAAAUCAGCCUUAAGUGGAUCGGAAUACAGCUACCUCAGAAGUCCAUCAUGGACUCAACAGCUCCGAGCAGAGCUGGAUUAAUGGAGCAAUGGUGUCAUCGGGCAACAGGUGAAGUCCAAGCGACCAUGCUUGUUUCGCAUGAUACGGACAUCUGAUCUGGGUUAGAAUUAGCCAAAUCCUCUAUAUCUUGGAGUUCCUACAAUCUAGGAAUUAGCGGGCACUGCUGAUGAGUAGAUUUUAUAUUAUAUAUUUUACUCUAUUUUUAGUAUAUUUUGGUUAAUAUUUUGGAAGAAUUUUUAUACUUUGAAUUGUAUUUUCAAUAUAGGACUUUCGACUUUCUCUAGAGCAAAACAGAACCAAAUGGACGAAUUUUGGAGUAAUUCCAAUUGGAUGACGUUCGUGAGUCACUUAACUUGAUCGUAUGAAAAUUUAGGAUUUUUCCACCAAGCGGUUAUUUUCUAGAGAUAAAAUAAAGGAGCGAUGCUCGGUGUUGGGAAAUGAUGUUUUUGGGCUUAAAUUGCGUUUUUGGAGCCCAAGAUGAUCUCGGAUGGUUUCGUGGCCUUCUGGAGAAGUGUUUAGAAUAUUCCAAACAUUAAAUCUAGCUAUAUUGGGCCAGUUUUGGAGCAGCUUAUGGGUCCAAAACGUGGUUGUUCAUAUUUUAGGCAAAUUUUAUCAUUUAAUUUAGGGUUAUGUUUCCUAUUUUAUUUUAUUAUUAUUUUUAGUUUCCUAGUGGGAAUAAAGGACCUGUUUUUAGGGUUUGGUUGGGGGGGGCUUAGCAUAUAUAUUGCUUUGAUGUCUACCGUUUUUCUUUACGUUUUCUUUUAUGCAAUUUUGGAGACAUAGAGAAUUGCUAGGAUUUUUGGAGCUUUUCUACUUGAAGGUGCUUUCAAUCAUUUUCUUAAUAAUAUUUUCUCUGAUUUUAAUUGUAAAUAUGCGUAACUAAUUUCUUUUGCUAGGGCGAAGCCUUGAGCCUUAGCAUGAAUAUGUGAUUUUUAUUUAAUUGUUUAUGAUUGAUUGCAUGCAUACUUUGAAUUAUUAAUCAUCGGGAUUAAAACUAUCUAAUUGUCUUAAUGCCUGAUCACCAUUAGGAUCUUUAGAAAAGUAAUUUGAUACAAUUUUGGUCGGAAUGUUCCUUGAAAUUAACGCUGACUUCUUGUGAUUAAUAAUUGUAAUUUCACUUAAGAUGAACAUCACGUCUUAAGGGUUGCAUGAUUUUUCAAAGGGUUUUCAUAAAGCAUAAUGAGUCUUUCAUGUUUAGAUUUGAUCUGAACGUCCAGACGGGUUGCAUGUUAGAUAUACGUUCUAUGUUGGAGGUUCCAAGUAGAAUAUGAAUUAGGAAAAUCUAACCUUCAAAGUGGCAUGUGUAGAUCAUAAGUAAUUGGUAAAAGUUUAUAGGAUUGCUAGGUGAUGGUGGAACUUUAGUGUUUUUUUAAUUUGAUUUCUCCCAAAACUGUUUUCUUUUCCCUCUAGUUUUAAUAUUGCAGAUUGUCUUAUUUUUAUUAGUUAAAUUUGUUUUAUUAAAUUAGUCCAUAAAAAUCACUCAUCAAGUUAUACUUUACAAUCAUUAAUUGGAAUUUGGUUUGUUUCUGUUUAUACCAUACUUAGGGCCUCUGUAUUUAGAUCUUGUAUAAAUACUCAGAGGACUCAAAUGUAAUUAUGUAAUAAAGGAAUGGGCAAAUAUGUAAUAAAUGAGGAGUCCUUAUUCUAUAAAAGGACCUCUCACUCUCCUCAUUCAGAGAGGCCAAUUCUAAGGCCAUACCCUUACCCUUUCAAUCCUCUCACAAAUAGAGAAAUACAAUAUCAGUGUGGACGUAGCCCAAACAUUGGGGUGAACCAUGAUAUAUAUUAUGUUAUUUACAUUUCUUGUAGAUUCACGGUCGGAUUUACGUUGUUCCAAGACUUCCGGUUUUGUGCAUCAACAUUUGGCGUCAUCUGUGGGAAUAGAUACGAAAAGUUGUGUCGGUUCUCUUUCAUUUUCUCACCUCUGCCAUGAAUAUGCAGAAACCAAGAAACAAACACCUGCACAGUCACUGCAAAAAAAAAAAAAAAAAAAAAAAAAAAAAACAAGCUCUCUCUCUCACUCUCUCACUCUCUCUCAUCACUCCCUUGCUUUUCACUCAUUCGUUUGACUCAUCUCUCUUCUCUGUCUGUGUGACUAGGGUUUCUCUCUCAUUCGAAAACCCAGUUAGUCCACUAUUCGAGCCAAGUUUUUGCACAAUCCAACGACGACGUUGCAGCUCGAUUCUGCCUUGUCGUAGGCUCCGACAGCCCACCAAGGGACCGUCCACCAAAGGACGAUGACACUUACGAGCAGCACUCCAAGAUGUGUUUUCUUGUCAUAAGAUUUCACUUUUCCUUUUCGAGGUGGAACAAUACUAUCUCUGUCGACGACAGCCCACCAAGGGAUCGUCCACCAAGGGACGAUGACACUUACGGGCAGAGCUCCAAGAUGCGUUUUCUUGUCAUAAGAUUUCACUUUUCCUUUUCGAGGUGGAACAAUACUAUCUCCGUCGACAUCCUGGCGUCUCACAGCCAAGUUUUUGCACAAUCCAACGACGGCGUUGCAGCUCGAUUCCCUUUCUGUUUCACCUCAAAAAAGUGUAUUGAAUCCUCGUCAACUUUCACAAAUUCAAUUCAAAUUUUGACAUUUAAAUCUUGAUUUGGUGAAUGAGAGCGAUGUGCUGAGCGAUGGCGCUUAAGGCUCCAGCUCCGGAAGCUGUCGAGAUUGCAAUUGCAUCCAUUGGGCGUGGAUACAAUAUGUCCACUGAUUUACGGCUCAAGUACUGUAAAGGGGAGUCUCACACUGCUCGAUUGAUUGAAAUCGAUGACGAUGGAGGUCGCGAGAUUAUUCUUCCCGGUGGGAUUACCAUCCCAAAUGUUCCCAAAUCGAUUAAAUGUGAUAAAGGAGAGCGCACACGAUUCAGGUCCGGCGUUCUCUCUUUCCAACAGAGACCGUGUCGACACGCAUUCGGCCCCAAUAUCUGCCCAACAUUCUGCUCCCAUUCCUUCUCAUGCUCCCGGCCUGUCUCCUAACCCAACAAUGGGUGCUCAUCCAGGUUAUAGUCCCCCAGACCAUUCAGCGCGCAACACCACCAGCAGCCUCUUAGACCGCACCGCCUCUCACUUCCCCGCCGUAGAUCUCCUCCCCAAAUCACGGAGCUCCGUCCAAGUCACCUGCCUGUGCCUGACGGCCCGUGAAAAUAAUCCGACCCGGUUCGUGAAAUGACCUAAGGUGGUUCAGAUUCAGAGGGAGAAGAGGAUCCUGAAGCAGAGGUCAAAGGUUCCUCCAACGCGAGGAAGAUCUGGCCUAAGGAAUUCGCUGCACUGUUUUACAGUCUUCCAAGUUGAUUAAGGGAAUAUUUGAGAGGUUCAACCGGGACAGAAGUGGGUUCAUUGAUGCAAAUGAGUUGAGAGAUGCACUGCUGAGUCUGCCAAAAGAGAAAAGUAAAAGCAAUGACCAGGCUGCCAAAAGAGAAAAAAAACAGAAAACAUGGCUACCCACUAAUGCACAGCAGCCCAAGCUCCAAGUUGAUUAAGGGAAUCAACUUGGCACGAUGACAGCACAGAAGAUGCCCACCAACUUUCAUCAUGUUCCCAUUCUUCACAGACGACACCAUGAUGUUAAAGAAAAAGAAAAAGGAGAAGGAAAAGAAUAGAAAAAGGAAAAGACAUAAUUGUGGUGAGGAUGGCAAGGGAAUUAUGGGCGUGACCCAUUGAGCAGAUGGUCGGAUUUAUUUUUUGAAUGAUGUAAUUUACUUUUCUUAUCUUUUGCAGACAUCUGUAUAAACUCCAUUAGAGGGUAAUACAAAAUAAAUAAAUAAAACGGCAAACCCAAAAUAAUAGCCUGGAAUGUAUUGAGGAGCAAACCCUUAUUCUAUAAAAGGGACUCCCUUACCAUCAUUAGAGAGCAUUGCCGCUUGCUGAGCAACCGUCUUGCCGCGAGCACCAACUCUAGCCCAUCGUUUUUUGUAUUGAGGAGUGAGCCCUUAUUCUAUAAAAAUGACUCCCUCACCUUCAACGCUACAAGCCGAGCCAACCAAGGCAACAUAAGUCACAAGUAGAGCAGCCUCGCAACAUGUGCUACUUCUGGUUGAGCAUCAUUUCAGAUUGGGCACCGCCUCAUAUCGAGUAUUAGUUCUAAAUGACAUCUAGUUACUUUGGCCCAAACAUGGACUGAAUUUCAAGUCUCUAGCCAAAAGACUCUCUUGACUGAAGACUUGGGGGACUACUGUUUAUACCAUACUUAGGGCCUCCGUAUUUAGAUCUCGUAUAAAUACUCGGGGAACUUAAAUGUAAUUAUGUAAUAAAGGAAUGGGCAAAUAUGUAAUAAGUGAGGAGUCCUUAUUUUAUAAAGGACCCCUCAUUCUCCUCAUUCAGAAAGGCCAAUUCUAAGGUCAUACCCUCACCCUCUUCCUCUCAAUCCUUUCACAAAUAGAGAAAUACAAUAUCAGUGUGGACGUAGCCCAAACAUUGGGGUGAACCACGAUACAUCUUGUGUUAUUUACUUUUCUUGCAGAUUCAUGGUUGGAUUUACGUUGUUCCAAGACCUCCGGUUUUGUGCAUCAACAGUUUUGAAUUAUUUAAUAAUCCAUGUGGAGAACGACCUUGCGAAAUCCAUUUAUACUACAACAACUUUGUAAUUCUUGCAAGUAUUAUAGGAGUUUUUAGCCCGUUAACAUGUGUAGCAAAAUCCCUAGCAACUACAAUUAAUCACACUUCUAUAGAUGAUGAAAUAUCUACUUCAAGAUAUCCUCUAGGAACCUUCCGGCUUAGAACAAGGAUUCUAUCUUUAAAAGGUCUCUUUCCUACAUCCUUCUAGAAUUCACCUCUGGUAAUGCAUUCAUCACGCUCUAAUUCUCUUGCUCACUACUUAAGUCUUAUAUUUGCUUAUUAAUUUGAUCGGCGGAGAGCCUUUGAUCGGCACAUUUCUCGGUUUUAGGCUUGCUCACAAGUUUUUGUUGUUUUACAGGUUAUUCAGAUUUAUGUUUCCACCAUUCACAGUGAUCGCGAAUUUAAUUCAAAUUCAUACUCUCACUUUAUGCUAAAGGUUAAAUAUAACAGCUAUGCAUAGGGAGUAGAUUUGAGUAGGGCUCGUACCUAUACUGUGACAUAUCGACAGGCUCCAUCCCUUCAAGGUCCUACUUUACCAGGUCGAUACUGACAUAUCGAUCGGCUCCAUCCCAUCAAUGUGGACAAUUAGCUUUUGAUUCUGUGGCAUUUAGCUUCUCUUGCAGCUUUGACUUUUCUGUUAAUUUGUCUCCACUUGAUGUGUUUUUGGAGGAAUUACGGAAAGCAAAAAUUUCUUAUAUGGACAAAUUCCCUAAUACCAGCCAACACUUCAUAAAGGUAAUGCCACGUGGAUAGAUGGUGGAUUAUAUAAAGGAAAAAGAAAGGAUGACACGUGGCAUGUUAUUAUUCGUUAAAAAUCUAAUCGAAAUCUAUCCACAAAGAUUGUAAACAGAUUAUGAUACGUGGCGUGACGUGAUUGGUUAAAAAUUUUAUCAGAAAUCUAUCAUUAACGAUUCUAAAAAGGUAACGACACGUGGCACGACGAUAUUGGAUAAAAAUCUUAUCAAAAUCUAUCACCAAAAAUUGUAUUUUCGGAUAAUAAUACAUGGCGCAACGAGAACGAUUAAAAAUUUUAUUCAAAAUUACAAAUAAAAUUAUUUUGUAUUAUUUUAUAAAAUAAAAAUACUAAUAUUUUAUUACUCAUUGUCAUGGUUAUUCAGUUAGAAGUGAAGAUGCAAAAGACAAUUACAGUUUAGUAAAGGCAGUUAUUGUUCACCGGAAGGGAUUCAAUAGGAAGUUGCCCUAAGAGACCUUUGAUACGCUGGAGUUGCUCUAAUCACACUCACACUUAAUGAGGGAUAAGAUUGUCUUGCUCUACCAUACGUAUCAUGUGAGAGGAUAAGAAAUAGAAUGUGAGUACAAUCCAGCAGUGUGUGUAUUUGUUCACAUGCAUUUGAAGUGAACUUUGAGCAUAUAUUUACGAUCUACACUCCUAUUUUUUGGUAAAAGUUGGGACUAGUUGUAGGACUUACUUUAUAUCAAAUUGUAGUAAUCCGAAUCAUCGAUUUUGUAAGUCUCGAUUCAUAUAUAUAUCAUCCUUACAAAAUUCUAUUUAAUCUGAAACUAUUUAUCUAUUUAAUUAUCACGUUGAAAUUGCAUCAUUUUUUAGAGAACAAAGUAUUCUUUAAUUUCUUUGAACUCAAUUAGAUGUUUUAAAUAUUUUCCAAUUUGGCUAAUAUUUUGUAAGGAUGAUCUAUGUGGUGCAACUUGAAAAAUAAACGGUUCGGAUCGUUAAAGUUCGAUGUGGUGUGAGCCCAACAACUAAUCCUUAUUUGUAUAUAAAUAAAAAAAAUAAAAGAUAAAUAAAAAAGGGCCGGAAUCCCUUCCAUUAAACACGUCCUAGGGAUAGAUGUAUCCUCCAUUCGAUCUUCGGUGUUACAUUGCCCCUAUAUAUCAUGUUAGUACUGUCCAUUAGUGUCUACAGGAAAACAAAAUCUACCUAAUUAACGCCACGACCCUACAAUAAAUAAAACCUUAUGUUUUCUCAAGUUAGAAUUAGAAUGUUACAAAUUUAUUGAAAAAUGCUUUAAACCAUAUGACUUGGUUGAUGAGAUGUGAACUCCAAGUUAAUUCCUUUUAACAAAAUCAUAUAUAUUCAUAAUACUUUUUCUGAGAGACAUGACAAAAAGAGAGCAUAAUUAUCAAAUAGUUUUACUCACACCCUACGUGUUAAUUAGAUUAAGGUUUAAUUUGGUAUUUUAUUUACCAAAAACUGCUUUAUGUUAAAUUCAAUCAAUAAAAAAGUGUUUGGUAAAAAUAAAAUAUCAUGUUUAUUUUAAUAGCAAUGACAUUCAGCCAGCAACUUUUAAAAGUAGUUUGUAGGUUGCUUUUUAAAGCUGCAUUAAUGAAUAUUUUUAAUUCCUAUAAAAAGCUCAUUAAUUUUAAAAAAUAACAUUAUUUAUCCUUCAAGACACAUUUUAUCCUUGGAGAACAAAGUGACCACCGCCACCUGCCAUUACACCAUCAUUGUUGCCACCACUACCACACCAUAGCCGCGCACCACCACCACCACUACAACCACCGCCAUAACCAUAUUCGCCACCACUACCACUACAACCACAACUGCCACUACCAUCGUUGCCGCCACAGUAGCCACCACCGCCACUAUAAACACAACCGCCACCACUGGCACCACAACUACCGUUGUCGUCGCCCCUACUACAUUGUUACCUCUAUAGCCCAAUCACCACACCCCUUUAUUGGCACCCCCACCACCACCAUCACAACCAUUGCCUUACAACCGUUAUCAUCGUCAUCGCCCACACUAUUAUGUCUAUUUUUGUUGUUAAAUACAAUUAUAUCAUUUUUGCAUUAAAAUUUAUCACAGAUUUAUCAAACACUCAAUUGCUUUAUUUUGCAGUUGAUUAUUCUUAAGAUCAGCAGAAGCAGUUUUAAAAAAAAAAAAAAAAACACAGUAAUCCCAAACUGACCCUAAGGCUAAAUCAUGACUAAAGUUUAUGCUUUUAAGUUUUCAAAAUCUUAAAGUGGUCGAAACUCCAUCUAGCACUUUUGCUAUACUAGCUUGCUGAUCAAAUUCUUAUUUAAUGGGACCAAAGAAGCUUAAAACUUACAUUGUAAUAUGCAUGCCAUGGCAUCAAGAUUGGCACCAAGUCUCUUAGUAAUCCUCUCCAUUUUCAUCACCUUGUCAUCACCAACCUCAUGCCAUCCUCUAGACCCUCUAACACCAUCCGAGUUCAUCCAUGUCAAAACCAUAGUCCAAAAAUCCUACCCUUCUCAAAACCUGAGCUUCCAAUACGUAGGCCUAGAUGAACCCGAAAAGUCCACCGUCCUCUCAUGGCAAUCAAAACCCACCAAAACCCCGCCACCUCUUCCUCGCCGUGCCUUGGUCGUUUUACGACUCAAAAUGAAAACCCUAGAGCUCAUAGUCGACAUAUCAACCCGUUCCAUAGUUUCCAAAACUGAAUUUGAUAACAAACAUGGAUACCCCUUGCUUAACAAUGAAGAACAAUCUGUUGCGACUGAACUCCCGUUCAAAUAUAAACCCUUUAUCCAGUCCAUUAAAAAGAGAGGGCUUAAUAUGUCCGAAGUUGUGUGUAGUACUUUUUCAGUUGGGUGGUUUGGGGAGGCCAAUACUAAAAGAACAAUAAAGAUUAAUUGUUUUUACAAAAAAGAUAGUGUAAACUUGUACGUUAGGCCAGUGGAGGGAAUAACAGUCGCGGUUGAUCUGGAUGAGCUGAAGAUCGUUGAAUACAUCGAUAGGUUUGUUGCACCUGUGCCAAAAGCUGAGGGAACCGAGUACCGAGCGUCCAAUCAGAAGCCUCCAUUCGGUCCAAGGCUAAAUGGUGCUCCAGUUAUGUCUGGGGACAAAGGGUUCAAGCUCGACGGCAACACUGUCAGGUUAGUCAUAAGUUAAUUAAUUAUAUUAUAAUUAACUUCCAGCAUAUCUUAAAGAUAACUGUGUCUCACGUACGUACUCUUUUUCCUCAACCACAUGUAGUAGUUAUUCCUUAAUUUUGGCUGUAUUUAGUAUUUUUUUUAAUCCAAUGAUGUUCUACUAAAUCAUUGUACUAAUUAACUAUAAUUAGUAUUGUACUUGAAUGAAUUCUUAGUGGAUUUGAGUAUUUAAUAUAUGGUUAUAAUAUUAUUGCUAUGCUUAGAAGUCAACACUGUUGUUUGUGGAAAUUGUAGGAAGCUUUUUUGGGUGUGACGAUUAUACUCACAUAUUAUGUUUCUAAUUUAGGUGUUAUAUAAUGAAGUUUAUAGAUCUAGAUAUAUUAUUAAUAAACAGAUACACAUGUUUAGAUAAUACUUAGAUACUUGCUAGUGAGUAUCAUAUAUACUCAAUUUUGUGAUUUGACUCAAUUAAAAGAUCACAUAUGUUUCUUGUUUUUAAAACUUCAAGAAACAUUAUAACAUAUAAAAAAUUAAGAUAAAACAUGCAUUAAAAUGUCAUUGAGCCAAAUCUAAAAAGCGAAUAUAUAAAGUACAUACUAGUAAGUACCUAAGUAUUCUCCAACAAAUGAAUUGAUAGACACCAUUAAUUUUUGGGUUUAGAUAUAAGCCCAUGCAACAAUUAUUUCCUUGACAAAAACCCAUCUCAUUUUAAACAUCCAAAUAAAAUCUAAAUUUGAAAUAGACUGCCAUGUAAACAAGUAAAUACCUAUUAUUUUCAAAAUAUUUACAAUUGUUUGUGCCACAACACCCUAAUUAUGUUAAUGAAUUUAAUUAUCCAUCACAAUUAUGGGAAAUAAGUGCCUUAUUAUUACAAAAGUAUCUACCUUAUACUUGUCUUACCAUCAUAUGUUCCAUUUCUUUUAUUUGUUUGACAACCAUUAUGGGUAGAUUAUUUUGCAUGUUUAUACUAGACACAUUUUGUUAUAAUUAUGGAUAUUAUUUAGUUGGAGCUUAGUCAUUAGGUUAUUGUUAGAGAAAUUUACCAUGAUGAUUUUAGUUAAAGAAAAUUGAAUUUCAAGGGGUGUACUCAUAUUUUCAGUCCACUUGAUAGUAUCGUCACACGAAUUUCACAAAAUUGUACAGCUGACGAGUCGGAGUACGGUUUCCUUAAAUCAAGGCGUGGCCCCCUGCCCAUACAUAUGUCAUAGAUUAAUAUUCGUGCAAUUUAAAAAAAAAUAGUAACAUUAGGGGGACCACAUAUCUAUAUCAUAUUUGGUAUAUUAUCUCAUGUGGUAAGUAAAGUAUACAAUCAAUAUUCAAUGAGAUAAGUUCAUUAAUUGACGUGAUAUAUAUGCACAUUAUUUACUAUCAAAUGAUACACAAAUAUGGUACAAAAUAUGUGAUUUCCCUAACGUUUUUCUGAGAAGAAAUUUUGGUUGGGGUUGCAGUAUUCUGUUUUCUAUUGCACAUGUUUUGAUUUUGUUACUAGCUAGAGUCGGUUGGGAUGCGUUAAUAUUUAGGGCUUAUAAUUAAGAAUUGUAAUAUAGGUCAUCUCCAACCCUUGGGGAUAAAGCUUAAAAAUUUAAGUAAAACAAUUUUAAGCCAUAUGCCAUAAACAAUUUUUCCGCUCUAAUUCUUGUGGCUUAAAAUUUUAGCCUGUGAUAAUUAAAUCAUGAUUUUAGCCUAACUUUUUGUUUUCGGUAACUUUUUUUUAAAAUAAAAUUUAUGUAGAUUAUCUUAAUUUACUUUUAUGAACAUUUUAGUCUAAAAACAUUUAAAUUCUGAUAAGUAAUUAAAAAUCAUACAAAUACAUAGGUAUUUAUAAGUUUUAAGUUAAGUUUGAUUUAAAUAUAUUUUUUAAAUUAUUUUAGACAUUAUAUUUAAUUUUGGGCCAUCCAAUAUUUUUUUUUACUAUUAGAUUUGAUCUCAUUUGAUCCUAGCCGUUAGAUUAUAAGUAAAAAGCAAAAAAAAAUGUUUUGAAAUAUGACAGUUUGGUGGGUCCAAAAUAAUUUAAGCCAGACUUAAAUCCUGAGAGGAAUCUAGCCCAGAGAUAUAUUUUAUCCCUAGGGCUUAUUUUAGCCCAUGGUUGGAGAUGGUUUGGGGGUAUUAAAGCUUAUAUUUUAAUCUUUAUUCCAUAAAUCGAAGAUGGUCUAAGUCUGCAAAUUUGAGUGAUAUAUAUAGACUGUAUUGUAGGUUACAAUAUCAUUAAAUAAAUCCAAUCACAAAAGUUAAUGUAAUGUUAAUUUUUUUUAAUACAACGAUAUAUUUUACACUAAGAGGAGGAGGAGUUCGGCUAAGCCACACAUAAUGGGCAACCUAAUUUAGUAUCGAAUUUACCAUCUAUGAGAUUUGAAUCUAAGACCUCUCACUUACAAGUGAAGAGGAAUACUCUUUGACAGUAGUACUGAGUGGCAAUGUUAAUUUUAUAUUGAACACUUAACAGAAGUGUUUUGGUUACAUAAACGAGAGAGGAUCCUCGCCGGAUUCUCUUUGUGAGGAUCCCGGGGAUCCUCCAAUCACAUUUGUUCAUCGUACAUCGUGGGCGAGUUUUUGUCAGGUACUGUUUAUAUUUAAUUUUAAAUAAGAAAAUUUACAAUGAUUUCUAACCGUACGAUGUAUGAUGAACAUAUGUGAUUUGAGGAUCCCCAAGAUCCUCACAAUACAUAAACCACUACUUGUAUUCUUUAUAUUGUUUUAUGAUUGUUUUAAUUCAUUGUUUGGGAAAGGGAUCCUCUCCGAAUCCCUUCCUCCUAAUCCACCAAAUCAGGAAAUCCGUGCCGUUGAAAUUUGAUCCGGAGAUGAUCCCUUUCCCAUUGUUUGUUUCAUUGACUCUAAAUCAAAGUGAUCAUUGUGUCCUUUUUCUUUCUUUUUCUACAUACUUUAAUUUGUAUCAUAUAAUAUUUAGAGUUAAUCUCAGUUUACUACCCUGAAGUUUCUUGAUUUUCAAAUUUGGCACAUAAAGUUUUUUUCGUUACAGUCUAGUACCUAAAGUUAUAAUUCUAGGACACUUUCAUACAUCCGUUAAGUUUUCCGUUACAACCUCCGUUAACUGAUGAUGUAGUGCCCACGUGGAUAAUAAUUGGGCGCCGCAUGUCAAUAUGGGCUCACUUGAAUAUUAAAAAAAAUUAAAAAUGCAAAAACACAAAAACUCUAAAAAAAAAAUAAAAAAUACCCACUUGUCUUCUACCUCCCCCCAACCCCCUACCUCCCUUCUUUCCUCUGCAACCCGAUCCCUUCCUUCUCUCCUUUGCAACUCCCACCCACCCUCCCUCAUUUCUCUCUUUUGCAACCCGCACCACCCUCCCUCAUCUCCUUUGCAACCCACACCCUCCUCUCCUACCUCACUUCACUCUCUCUCCCUCCCUUCUUUCCUCUACGCCUACCCAACACUCUAUACCCAACCCACCUCCACCCUUUUCAUCUCCCCUCCCUUCUCUCUCCUCCAUCCUCUUCACCUUCACCCUUUGCAAAUUCGAAAUUCGAUCCGGAGCAGCUACGGUUCACGAGCCACUCGAGGAGAGAGAAGAACCGAAGUAAGGGAGCUACCACGGGCUGUUGUCAGAGUCCAGUGAGGUGGCGGCAGGGGCUAGGAAUGCUCAAGAAUCGAUUAGGAUUUGGGAAUUUAUCCAAAUUAGGGAUUUGGGUCAACUGGGUUUUUGAUAAAUUUCAUAAAUUGGAUGGGUUUCUUGUUGAAUUGGAAUUCUUUUGGGUGGGAUUUGUUGGGGUGGGUGUGUGGGGAGGGUGGAUACGGGUUGCAGAGGAGAGAAGGAACGGUGGUGCAGGUUGCAGAGGAGAGAAGGGAGGGUGGUGCAGGUUGCAGAAGAGAGAAGGGAAGGAAAGGGUGUGGGUUGCAGAAAAGAGAAGGGAGGGAGAGGGUGCGAGGGAUGAGGUAGGAGACAGAUGGUUUUUUUUUUAAUUUUUAAUUUUUUAAUAUUCAAGUGGGCCCAUAUUGACAUGUGGCGCUUAAUUAUUGUCCACAUGGGUGCCACAUCACCAGUUAACAAAAGUUCAAACGAAAAAAUUAACAAAUAUAUGAAAGUGUUCCAGAAUUAUAACUUUAGGUAUCAGACUGGGAUGAAAAAAACUUUUAUGUACCAAAUAUUGAAAACCAAGAAACUUCAGAGUAGUAAACUGAGAUUAACCCUAAUAUUUAUAUGGGAAGUGAUUUUCUUGCAUUUUUUUUACUCUCGUACACAUCUUGUUUAAUUAUAAAAAAAACUAACGAAAAAUCCUCAAAAACUUUAGUUUUAAUGAAAAUGACAAAAUAAAGGUGUAAGUGAAUAGUAAUAGGAGUGACUUUUCAAAAUAAAAAUUAUCCUUUUCAUUAAAAGUAAACAGUGCUUCAUUAAGAUUCCCUUAAUUAUAGCCGUCUAUUUGACUAUUCAAUCUGGUAGCCAUAAAUUUUUCCGUUUAACAAUUGGCUUUUUAUAUUAGUACCCCAUAAAAUGUUGAAUGCACCCCACAUUAAAAUUUAAUAUUAAAUGACUUAUUUACCUCACCAUACAAUAACAAUUUUGACCUUAUUAGGUUUAUAAAAAUAAAAAUUUCUAAAUACACUCCAAAUCACUUUUAUCGCAUUAUUUAUCUUCUCAACCAUCAAAAUGUGGAAUCGCACAACUAACCAUUUGUACUUGUACCUCCAUUUAUAUCCAUCAAUGUAAAAUGCAGCUUCAAAUAUCUCAAAUUCGUUUGGAAGUGAAGCUUCAAAUAUUUCAAAUAUUUCCAAGAGUAUACGUCUUAAAACCAGCCACACAACAAUUCAAAUAUUUCCAUGAGUAUAUGUCUUAAAACCAGCCACGCAAUAAUCAAAAUAAAAUUCCUACACUGCAGAAAUGAAGUUCAUGAAAGUCAAAACAAAAAUUGCAUACCACGAAGUUAAACUUAUUAAUAAGCUACUGCUGAUGUUACCCUACUUAAUGAAGGUAGACAUCUAUCGAUGCAAACUAUACUAAGAUGAUUUCAAAUCAUUAUUUUGAAAUCAUUCGGCAAACUAAACGUUCAGAUGAUUUGAAAUCUUUCGGCAAACUAAACGUUCAAAUGGUUAGACUCAGUCCCUGAAAAUAAAAAAUGAGUGUUAUAAGAUUUGAGAAAUAUGGUGUGUAUAGAAAAUGUGGCGUGUAUGUACACAAUAUAAGAUGUAUAUUGAGAAUGUGAGGUGUGGGGUAUUAUAGGAAAGUAUGUGGGGUGUGUUAAGAUAAUUUUUAAGUGAAAAAGUAAAUGUAUGGUGUAUUAAGUAUGUAGAGUUUAUUCAACAAUUUGUGGUAUGUUAAUAUAAUAAGCCUUAACAAUUUACUAAUAUUCAUAUUUGUAAUCAUCAUCAGGUGGGCCAAUUGGAUCUUCCAUCUCGGAUUUGAUGUUCGAACGGGUGUGAUUAUAUCUCAAGCAUCAAUAUAUGAUCUUGAAAUGCACAAGUACAUGAGGGUUUUGUACAGAGGCUUUGUAUCCGAGUUCUUUGUCCCGUACAUGGACCCCACAGAAGAAUGGUACUACAAAACCUUCUUCGACUGUGGAGAAUUUGGGUUUGGUCUAUCCACAGUCUCACUCAAACCGUUGACUGACUGCCCAGCCAAUGCCCAGUUCAUGGACGCCUACUAUGCUGCCCAGGACGGCACGCCGGUGAAGAUAUCGAAUGCUUAUUGCAUCUUUGAGAGACAUGCAGGCAACAUCUUGUGGCGCCACACUGAAGUCACCAUCCCAGAUAUAGUGGUGAUGAUAAAGUUUUCUUCUUAUUUUUCAAAUGUGUUUGAUUGAUUUGUUUUUUGAUGUAAAUGUGGUGUAAUCGAGGGAUAACGGAAUUGCAGAUCACAGAGGUUAGGGCUGAGGUCACUCUGGUUGUGAGGACGGUUUCAACUAUAGGCAACUAUGACUACAUAAUUGAUUGGGAGUUCAAGCCAAGUGGCUCCAUCAAAAUGGAGGUAUGUUAUAUGAUAGCUAGGGUCUUAUAGUGUGUACAUAUGUACUGGUUUAAAUUUUAAGUAAACUUAUAGAUUGAUAAUCUGGAUAACUAUUUGCCAACUAAACAAUAUAUAUCUGUCGGUGAAUUUGAAUGAUUGGUCAUGUUAGUUUAUUAUACGAUCAAAACGUUCUUCCUGUAUUCAUAUUCUGACAAAAUGAGUAUGUGUCAACAGAUGUUACGCUUGAUGUUGCGCUUGACAAUUAUGGUUUGUUGAUCUUCAAUUUCUUAAACAGGUGGGGCUAACAGGUGUGCUAGAAAUUGGAGCAGUUAAUUACACCCACAUAGACCAAAUAGAGGAGGAAGUUUUUGGCACAUUGGUGGCAGAUAAUUGUUAGCAUACAGACUAUGAUCUUGUAUGAGUGUUUCAAACAAUUUAUAAAUGCUGAAGAAAGGAAGAGAGUAAGAAAUCUAGAGAGAGAGAGUGAGAGAAUUCAGCUUGAGGAAGAAGAAACGAACUCUGCACUGUUUCAUUCAUUCACACACACUUAGCACAUGUAGCAAGAGGAAAUAUUAAUUAAUCUAAGAUUACAUCUUAGCUGCACACUUGGACUAUGAUCCAAGGGCUGAUAUUUAAAACUGACUUCUUAUUAUAUUUCAGCAAAUACACUUAUAAACUAACACUCCCUUCUAAGUGAUGUGCUGAAAUCACUCCCAAAGCUGUCCUCAGUACUUCAAAUCGAUCCCUUGCCAAAGCUUUAGUGAAUAUAUCUGCAACCUGCUCUUCAGUCUUGCAGUAUACCAGAUCAAUCUCACCAUCUUGAAGUGCAUCUCGGAUGAAAUGAAAUUUCCGAUUAAUGUGCCUGGUUUUGUGAUGAUGAACUGGAUUCUUUGAUAUGGCAAUUGCUGAGGUAUUAUCACACACAACAACUUAGUUGGUUCUGCUUGUUCUUCCCCGAAAUCAGAGAGUACAAAUCUUAGCCAAAUGGCCUGUGCAGUAGCUUCUGCUGCACUGAUGUACUCUGCCUCUGCAGUUGAAAGAGCAACACUGCUUUGUUUGAUUGAGGCCCAAGAAAACACACCAGAACCAAGAUUGAAUGCAUAGCCAGAUGUACUCCUCAUAUCAUCUUCACUUCCACUCCAAUCACUAUCACAAUAACCAACCAACACUGCUCCUUUUCCCUUUUCAUAGACAACUCCAUAGGUCACAGUGCCUUGUAUGUAUCUCAGAACUCUCUUAGCUGUCCCCAUAUGCUUCUUGGUAGGAUUGUGCAUAAACCUAGCCAAUAAGCUUGCUGCAAACAUAAUAUCUGGCCUUGUUGUUGUCAAAUAUAGCAAACUUCCCACCAUUUGUCUAUAUAAAGUCUCAUCUGCCAGAUCACUUCCAUCUACUUUUGUAAGUUUUUCAUUCAUAGCUAAUGGUGUUGCAACCGGCUUACAAUCCCUAAGUCCAAAUUUCUCAAGCAAAGUCUUUGCAUAUUUCUUUUGAUGCAAGAAGAUGUAAUUAUCUGUUUGCAAUACUCCAAGACCAAGGAAAUGGUGAAGUAAUCCUAGAUCAGUCAUCUCAUAUUGUCUCAUCAUCUCACCUUUAAACUCAGCUAUCAUCUCCUUUGAACUCCCUGUGUAAAUAAUAUCAUCUACAUACAGUGACACAAUAAGAAUGCCACUGUGAGAUGUCUUGAUAUAAAGAGUAGCUUCACUCGGACUUCUGUGGAAUCCAGCCUUUGCAAAAUAGGAAUUUAUUUCUUCAUACCAAGCUCUUGGAGCUUGUUUCAAACCAUAUAAAGCUUUCCUGAGCCUGUACACUUUGUCUUCCUUGCCCUGUAUAACAAAACCAGAUGGUUGAUCCACAUACACCUCUUCAUUCAACACUCCAUUUAGAAAUGCAGACUUUACAUCUAACUGAAAUAAUUUCCAUCCUUUCUUGUGCAGCAAGGGCCACCAAGGUUCUCACAGUAUCAAGUCUUGCCACAGGUGCAAAAGUUUCAUUGAAAUCGAUUCCAGGCUUCUGAGAGUACCCCUUUGCAACCAACCGUGCUUUGUUUUUCUGCACUGAACCAUCCAGAUUUAGUUUUGUUUUAUAAACCCAUUUGACUCCAAUGAUUGGUUUAUCAAAUGGUCUAUCAACAAGAUCCCAAGUAUGAUUCUUCUCAAUCAUAGAGAUUUCAUCUUCCAUAGCCUUCUGCCAUGAUUCAUCCUUGGCAGCCUCUUCAAAACAUUCGGGUUCUAUUAUGCACAGAUUACACUUUUCAUAUAUUUCUGCAAUGUUUCUGUACUUGAGAGGAGUGUGAUCAAAAUCCUGUGGACCUGUCACUCUUUCUUGAUCAGAUAGCUCAGUAACUAAAUCUGACCCAACAUUCUCUUCACUGACUUCACAUUGUGUUUCAGAAUCACAAGCACUUCCUUCACAGUUUUGUUCUCCUGCAGACAUUUCAAUGAUCUGGAUACUCUCCCUUCUUUCCUUCUGUGCAUUCCAAUCCCAACAUGCUUCUUCAUUAAACACAACAUCUCUGGAAAUAGUCACCUUUCCAGAUUCAAUGUUAUACAGUCUAUAUCCCUUCUCACAACUACCAUAUCCCAAGAAAAUACACCUCUUGCUUGCCAAAUCGAGUUUUUGUCUCUGUUGACUUGGCACAUGAGCAUAACACAAAGAACCAAACACUUUUAGAUGCUUAAUUCCUGGUUUUUUCUCCCACUGUAAGCUUCAAAAGGUGUCUUCUUAUGUAAGGCUUUGGUUGGGCAUCGAUUCAGAAUGUACACAGAGGUAUUGACUGCCUCAGCCCAGAAUUCAAGUGGAACCUUAUUCUCCAACAUAAGACACUUAGCCAUUUCCACGAUGGUUCUGUUCUUUCUCUCUGCCACACCAUUUUGCUGUGGUGUGUAUGGAGUGGUAAGUUGUCUUUCCAGGCCUACAUCUUCAACAAAUCUGUUAAAUUCCAUUGAAGUGUAUUCACCUCCUCGAUCACUCCUAAGCUUCUUCAGUUUAUAUCCACUCUGCAACUCUAUAGUAGCUUUGAACCUUUUAAACACAUUGAGAACUUCAUAUUUAUGCCUUAGAAAAUAAAUCCAACACAUCCUGGUGCAGUCAUCUAUAAAAGUGAGAAAGUAUCGAUUUCCAGCUGUUGUAGUUGUCUGCAUUGGUCCGCAAAUGUCACUGUGUAUAAGCUCAAGAGGAAAUGAUGCUCUAGUAGUGGCUUCUCUUGGAAAUGCUUCUCUGCAUUGUUUGCCAAGAACACAGCCUUCACACACUCCUUUAAUUACUUUGAUCUCCGGUAACCCGACCACCAAUUAUUGUUCCUGCAUCAAUUUCAAACUGCUCAUGUUCAGAUGACCCAAUCUUCUGUGCCACAUAGCAGUAGAAGGACAUACAUUUGCCCUGUAGGCAAUAUGUAUUCCAGACUGUAACUUCAUUGGAAAACUUCGAUUUCCCUUCAUUGGUACUCUGGCAAUCAAGUUGGAAUAUGAGCUAUCAUCAUAGAUCUCUACUUUAUGACCUCCAAACACCAAGUAAUAACCGUGCUCCAUCAUUUGACCUACACUGAGCAAAUUUUCUUUCAAUCCAGGCACAAGCAUAACCUCCUUGAUAUAUCUCUUGCCUAUUUUAGUUUCAACCAUAAGACUUCCUUUACCAGUUACAUCAACAAGCUGUCCAGUACCCAUUUCAACCUUUGCAGUCACAUAUUUGUCAAUAUCAACCAAUAGAUCCUCCCUUCCAGUCAUAUGAUUACUACACCCACUAUCUACAUACCAUACAUCUUCACAUCCUUUUACACUAGUAUUAGUUUGAUUACUAGCAUAAAACAUGAUUGGUGUAGAGUCUGCCUGAGUGGCAUAAUUAAGCUGUUGCACUGCCUUCUUGCUAUUACAGUCCCUUGCUAGAUGACCAAACUUAUCACAGUUGUAACAUUUUGGUUUGCCUUUGAAUCGACACUCACCAAAAUGUAGCUUGCCACAAUGCUUACAAGAAUUUCUAGCCCCAUCUGUGGGUUUGUUAUCCCACUUCUUGCCUUUGUCCUUCCAAUUCUUAUGGUACUUGGCAUUUUGAUUUCCAGUAAACUUAACUGGUUUGGGAUUCACACUAAGGCUAGCAAAUGCUCUCUCAGUUUUUAUUUUCAGAAUGCCUAUCAAUCCUUAACUCAAAACUCUUCAAAGAAGCCACCACCUCUUGUACCUCAAUCACAUCCAAAUCUUUCGAAUGCUCAAUAACAGAACAGAUAGAAUCAUAAGCUGAUGGCAAACUAAUUAAUAAUUUCUGAACAACUCUCUCUCGAGAUAAUUCCUCUCCAUAGCUCCGCAUUUGAUUUAUCAGAUCAAAUAGUUUUUGUAAGAUAAACAGAAAGUGAUUCAUCAUCUCGCAUUCGGGUAUAUUCAAAUUCCCUACGAAGACCUUGCAAUUUAACACUUCUAACCUGUUUAUCACCAUGGUAUUCUUGCUGCAGAAUGUCCCAUGCGCCUUUUGAAGUUUCUUCAUGAGAGAUUCUGGGAAAUAUCUCAUCUAAAACAGCGCCCUGAAUCAGACCCAGAGCUUUAGCAUCCUUCAUGAGCACCUCAACAAGCGUCAUCCUCCCAGCACCACUAGACUCUUCUUUGUCUUUCUUCUUCUUCGCCUCAGAUUCAUCAAUCUUCUUCAGAUCUGAUUCAUCGAAACCCUUUUCAACCAGAUUCCACAAUCCGUAGGACUUGAAAAUGGUCUUCAUCUUAAUACUCCAAAACUCAUAAUUUUCACCAUUGAAAAUUGGUGCUCUCACCUCACCACUACCCGAUCCUGCCCAUGUUAGACUCAGAUCGCAAUCAACUCGAUCGCAGCUUUGAGUUGCUGGGUAGCUCUCUUCACAGAUCCAAACGCCCAGUAUCAAUUGAUCGAACACAGCUCUGAGGCCAUGUUAGCAUACAGACUAUGAUCUUGUAUGAGUGUUUCAAACAAUUUAUAAAUGCUGAAGAAAGGAAGAGAGUAAGAAAUCUAGAGAGAGAGAGUGAGAGAAUUCAGCUUGAGGAAGAAGAAACGAACUCUGCACUGUUUCAUUCAUUCACACACACUUAGCACAUGUAGCAAGAGGAAAUAUUAAUUAAUCUAAGAUUACAUCUUAGCUGCACACUUGGACUAUGAUCCAAGGGCUGAUAUUUAAAACUGACUUCUUAUUAUAUUUCAGCAAAUACACUUAUAAACUAACAAUAAUAGCAUUGCUGUGAACCAUGAUCAUUUCUUGACAUACCAUCUUGACCUUGAUGUCGAUGGUGAAACCAACUCCUUUGUCAAGAAUAAUUUUGUGACGAAACAAGCAACAGGCCACAACACACCCAGGAAGAGUUAUUGGAAUAUUGUAAGCGAGACGGCUAAAACUGAGUUAGAUGCAAGAAUUCGCCUUGGUUUGAAGCCAGCUGACCUGGUUGUGGUAAACCCUAAUAAGAAGACCAAACCCGGGAACCCAUUUGGCUAUCGUUUGAUCCCGGGGGCAGUCGCAGGAACCCUAUUGUUAGAGGAUGAUUACCCGCAAAUACGCGGCGCUUUCACUAAGUACAAUGUGUGGGUUACACCAUACAACAAGUCCGAAAAAUGGGCAGGAGGAAGAUAUGUUGAUAAAAGUAGAGGAGAGGACACAUUAGAUGUGUGGAGCAACAGGUAUUAAUUAAACUGUGAUUAAAUUUGGUUAAUGCAGCAAAAGAUUUUACAAAACGUUUGUGAUUUCUCUUGUUCAUUUUGGUUGACUGGUGUGAAUUGUGAUUGUUUUAUGUGUGCAGGAAUAGGAAAAUUGAGAACAAAGAUAUAGUGUUGUGGUACACAAUUGGGUUUCACCACAAUCCUUGCCAAGAGGAUUUUCCAAUGAUGCCAACAUUGAGUGGUGGAUUUGAGCUCAGGCCAACCAAUUUCUUUGAGAGCAGUCCUGUUCUUAAAGUUAGAACCAUACCUUCUAAGCACCACUCGCCCAAUUGCACCGCCAAAAACUAGCUGGGGACUUUUUAUUUAUCAUGAGUGAUUAAUAAUCCUAAGAGCUUAAUAAGUGAUAUUUUCAUCUCAUUGCAGUUGUAAUUUAUUGCAAGUUUUAGUUACAAAUUACAUAUCUAGUCCCAUUCCAACCCAUGUCACCAUGAACAAACGAUAGUUAUUACUUAGGAAAUCAACAUCUUGGUGGGGUUCGUAGUCUAUAAGGUUAAGAGAAUUUAUAAUACUCCCAGACAUGGCUAGUUAGCAAACUGAGAUCUUGGUUGUUAAAAAAACUUAAAAAGAAUCACUCUACUAAGUACUGGUUUGGUAUUGAAGUGUUUUUUAUAAAAAGUGGGUAUAAAAAAAAAAGCUGACCUCAAAAAGAUGUUUGGUAAACACUUAAAAACAACUUAUUUUCAUAGUUUUGGGUGAAAAAAAUCUGAAAACGUGAAAUUGCAUAAAUGAGCUUAUUUUCACAAUACAGCAGGAGCAGUUUUCAAAGCACAGCAAUACCAAACCAGCCUUAACUAAGCCCUUUGUGAUCAUGUGACUGAUCACCCUCAAUAGAAGCAUUGAAAUUUUACAGCUCACUUGGUAAUAUCUUCUCCCUACCAUCCAAUUGAAAAGGGUAGGCAUGAAACUUCAGAUAAAUUCAAUCCCCUGACUGAAAUUGAGUUGAAUUUGGGGUGACUGAGAGGAAGCUUACUAGUUAGGAAAAGCUCGGUAAAGGUGAGAGGAGGGUGUCCUGGACCUGUGUGGACGUGAUCGGAUAUGAUAGAGCCGGCGGCCAAGUCUACGACGAACUCGUCGGUUUUCCUGACUUCAAUGGGACAACUGAAUCUUCCUGGACUUUAAUUUUGCAGGUCCUUGCAUUUCACUAGUCCUUCGCCUUGCCCUCAUAUUUAAUUGCAGCUGCUUUGCCUUGCUUCUGAGUCUUUGUUUAUUAAAGUGAGGAGGCACAAUGAAUCGUCAUUUUACACAUUUGUCUUUGCAACUGUUUUCUCUUAAAUAAGUUACAUGUUACAAGUUUAAUAAUAAGUGUCUCGAUGCCUAUAAAGAUUUAACAAUAAUAGACGAUUAUAUUUAAAUUACUUAAACCACGAGGAAGGAAAAAUUAUGCAGAGAUAAACGUUCUUAAUUAGCACUUGAACAAGAAGUCCUUUGUGAAUGCAAAUUUCUUCCUCCUUGUUUUUAGACAAAAUUGCACCUACAAAACAAAUAACACAUUUGGUCAAGGCCAAGAGCGCCUACGAUAAUUUUUUUUUUGGGCGGGGGGGGGCUUUGGCCGAAGAACCUCCGAUGCCAAAGUUAGAAUUUGAGAGAAAAAGUGUUUGGAGAAUUUAGAGAAUUUGCAAGAGGGUUGGCAUCCAGUUUUGGAGAAAAUGAGGUGGUUUAUAUAGGGGUGUGGCCAGCCCCUUUGGGAGGAGAUGGACCGGCCAUUUGGAUGGUGUUUUGGAUGAGAUUCAUGAUUUGUUAGCUAAUUAAUAGAUUAAUUGGGUAAUUAAUCAAUUAAUUAGCUAAUUAAUAUAAUUUAGAAGGAAUGAUUUGGGGGUUACCUUGUGGAGAAGAUUUGAUGAGGACGAAUGAAAUAGGUUUUGAAUAAAUACCUAUUUUGGGCACUUUUGACUUGAUUGAGGGAUGAUUGCCCACUGCUUGGGCGUACAAAUCUCGAUGUGCCUCGAGGGUAAUCUUGUCUUUUUAACCCAAAAAUCCAUGUGUCGCCUCCAUAUUUUUCUUGAUUAUUUUUUGCUCCACACCAUUUACAUACUCAUGUUCGGUAUUGUAACUAGAAUCACACACGUUUUUUCUCCUCUUACGCACCCCUCCUUAUUUCUAGUCAUUUGAUUGAAUAAACCAAAUGGCAACAACUGACUUAGAGUGUGUGCGAGGAGAAAAAGAGUGUGAUUAUCAUUUCUCGUAAUUAAAUUUCAACGUGCUUCUAAUAAAAAUGCUAUUAGGAUAAGUGCUUACGAACAAAAGUGCUUCUUACAAGACGUUAGUCCAGCACUGGGAAAUUUCUUUCACAAGGCAAACCCUUGAAAGAAAUUUCUUAUAGAAUUUCUAGCCUAGAAUACCAAAUGAACUAUACAUGGCUGUCUUCAACGGCUUAAUUAACAAUUUCUUAGCCUUCCAUUCUCAGCCUCUCCCAAUAUUUUUUCUUUUUUGGUAUUUUUCUUGCAUUAAGAGCAAGGAAAAUUAAUUGAGUUUACUCAAUAAUUAAGAAAUUGUAUGAUUAUCAGUACAGCAUGACAUGCAGUCAUUAUUACAAAUUUAUGGAAUUUUGUUCAAAGUGGUACCUCCUACAUUAGGAAAUGUACAAGGAGUAUAAACAGAGUGAAACACUUGGAUGUUCAUUUUCCUUCAAGCAGAGUUUCUUCCUGUGACAAUGCUGAAGCUGGAUGAGCAAUUUGAACCCCUCACAUAUUGGGGUGGCUUGUUUUUUGACACUGGAUUGCUUUCGAAGAAAUUGCUCUGUCGGAGCUCAAACUGGCCGCUGAUCGUUGGCAUUAUGGGAAAAUCUUCUUGGAAUGGCACAUGAUGAAAACUCAUGGUGUACCAUAACACAAUGUCUUUAUUUUCAACGUCCCUAUCCCUGAAACAAUGAAAUUAAUCAAAACAUCAUGGUAAAUUUCACUACUGAACCUAUAAUAAUUAAAUAAAUUAGGGUAAACGGCUAAUUAGUAGCUACCUACUGCUCCAUGUAGCCAAGGUAUCAUCCCCCCUGCUUUGAUCAGCAUAUAGUCCCCCUGCCCAUUUUUCAGACUUAUUAUAUUGUGUAACCCACACAUUGUACUUAGUGAAGCCUCCUCAGAUUUGUGUAUAAUCCUCGUCGGAUAGAAGUGAACCUGCUACUGAUCCCGGAAUCAGACGAUAUCCGACAUGAUUACCCACUUUAGUCCUCUUGUUGGGGUUCACAACCACCAGAUCAGCAGCAAAGGAACCAAGCUUGAUCUUUGCAUCAGACUCCGUUUUAGCCGUAUCACCGACUACCUUCCAGUAACCCUUCGUGGGUGACUUUGGGUCACUCGCUCUGGUUGUUUGCAACUUGACAAAGGAGUUUACUUCACCAUCAACAUCAAGAUCUAGGUGAUAGGUAAGAAAGUGAUCAUGGUUGACAGCCACUAUAUUUUAUGUUACAAGAGUACCGUACACUUCCUCCUCUAUUUGUUCUGUGUGAGUGUACUCUGUUCGCUUCACUUCCAAACAACCAGUUAGCCCAACCUGCAAGAAGGAUGAAAUUUUAGGUGUAACCAGUUGUUUUACAGAUUGUAACUAUUUGUUGGUGUAUCUAGUCACAGGAUGAGACAUGAAACGGAGUAAAAAAUUUCCAAGUGAGGGGCCACUUUGAAAAAUAAAAUAUGGUUUCGCAAAGAAUAAUGGUAGCAUAUCCAAAAUUUUCUUAUACUAGCGAUCACAUUAACAGCAGAAGUACACUUUUUAAUAGAAAUGCUAUCUUUUCAUUUCAUCAUCUCAUAAAAUUACACAAUGGUAUACAUAUAUAUACUAGUAAUUCACUAGUCUUAGCCAACUAACUAAUUACAGUUUUACCCAACCAAUCAUUCACUAAUUACAAACUAAUAUAACCACCUUAUAACAAACUCUAACCAACUUAGCUAUUGACAGUUUUAUCCUAUUAUCCCCCCUCAAACCUAACUGAGGUAACCGAAGGGAGAGUUUGUUCCGAAUGAAGAUGAAUCUGGGCUUGGACAGAGCUUUAGUACAGAUGUCUACAAUUUGAUCCUCAGUGCAGACAAAGAGAACUUUCACUUGAUAUGCUAGCACUUUUUCCCGGAUAUAGUGAUAAUCAAUCUCCACAUGUUUGGUUCUUGCAUGAAAGAUGAGAUUUUUAGCCAAAGAAAUUGCAGAAAUGUUAUCACACCAAAGCUACAGGGAAGAAGAAAAAGCUAGACCAACAUCAGUCAACAACUUGCAAAUCCAUGUGAGUUCUGCUACAAUGUUUGCAAGGGACCUAUAUUUAGCCUCAGUGGAGGAUCUAGCCACAGUAGGUUGUUUCUUUGCACUCCAUCUGAUAAGAGAGUCUCCCAAAAAGAUAGAAAAUCCACCAGUGGAUCUUCUAUCAAUGCUACAUCCUGCCCAAUCUGCAUCCGAGAAGGCAGUGAGGUUGAGAGACUUUGAACACUUAGGAAACCAUAGACCAAGAGAUAAUGAGCCCUUGAGAUAUUGAAGAAUGUGUUUGACUACUUGGAAAUGUGCUUGCCUAGGUUUGUGCAUGAAUUGAUAGACCAAAUUCACAGCAUAAGAUAAGUUUGGCCUGGUCCAUGUUAAAUAUUGCAAUCAACCAACCAAAGACCUAUAUUCUUCAGGGUUAUCAAGCAGAGAAGAUUCAUGAUCCAAUUUUGUUGUGCUAAGGGGUGUAACACAAGGCUUGGAACCCUCCAUAUGAGCUUUAGUGAGUAUGUCUAAGAUAUAUUUGUUCUGAGAAAGCAAUAUGCCAGAGGAUGAUCUUUUGGAUUCAAUACCAAGAAAGUAAUGAAGAGGACCAAGAUCUUUGAUAGGGAAUAAGACACUGAGUUGGGAAAUGAUGUCUUGACAAAGUUGAGAAUUUGGACCAGUGACAAUAAUGUCAUCAACAUAAACCAAAAUGAAGACCAGAGUUGGAUCCCUUUUUACAAACCGAGAAUAGUCAUUCUGAGAACUUGAGAAACCUAGAGACUUUAAUGCAUUUGUUAAUUUCUCAUACUAAGGCCUGGGGGCUUGCUUCAAACCAUAUAGAGACUUAUGCAGAUGACAUACAUGAGUUGGCUUUGUAGGAUCUUCAAAUCCUGGUGGUUGUAUCAUAAACAUAUAUUUUGUGAAAUUAUCAUGCAAGAAAGCAUUGCUGAUAUUAAGUUGAUUUAGAAACCAAUCAAACUUGGCAGCCAAAGUGAGAAGAAGCCUAAUAAUAACAGGCUUAGCAACUGGACAAAAUACCUCAGUAUAGCCCAAACCUUGUUGCUGAUGAAAUCCUUUGGCAACAAGCCUUGCUUUGUACCUAUCAAUGGUACCAUCAGGUUUUCGUUUAAUUCUUGUUUGUACCAUACUUAGGGCCUCCGUAUUUAGAUCUCGUAUAAAUACUCGGGGGACUUAAAUGUAAUUAUGUAAUAAAGGAAUGGGCAAAUAUGUAAUAAAGGAAUGGGCAAAUAUGUAAUAAGUGAGGAGCCAUUAUUCUAUAAAAUGGACUCCUCACCCUCACAAUUGGAAAAGGCCAAUUCUUAGGCCAUAUCCUCACUCUCUCAGAGCUCUCAUCCUCACAGAGAAGCUCUCUCUCUCACUAUUCAACAUCUUAGAGAAAUACAAUAAUCAGUGUGGACGUAGCCCAAACAUUGGGGUGAACCACAAUACAUCUUGUGUUAUUUACUUUCUUGCAUAUUCACAGUCGGAUUUACAUUGUUCCAAGACCCCUCUGAUUUUGUGCAUCAACAUUUGGCGCCGUCUGUGGGAAUCGACACGAAAAGUUAUGUCGGUUCUCUCUCAAAUUUUCACCUCCGCCGUGAAUCUGCAGAAACCCAAUAACCAAACACAUGUAGAGUCACUGCAAAACCCAUCUCUCAAAUAUGCAGAAAUGAAAACUCCUAAACUCAACCACAGUUUCUUCUCUCUCCUCUCAAUGUCUUGUUCUCUCUCUCUCUCUCUCUCUCUCUUUCCACUUCUGUUUGGCUUCUGUGGUGGCAUUCUGAGAUCUGGUGGUGGGAUCCGACGAUCAGAGGGAAAAAUGGCAGACCCGAAACCCGACACACCCUUGAUCCCACCAUCGUCGUCAUCACCAUCCUCGUCAAGAAACCUCCCCAACUUCAAAAAUUCAGUUAAACUAAAACAUGUGAAGCUUGGGUACCAUAUUCUCAUCACCCAUGGAAUGUACCUCUUUCUUUCCCCUCUUGCUGUUGUUAUUGUUGCCCAGAUUUCAACAUUUUCUCUCAAGGAUCUUUAUGAUCUUUGGGAGCAUCCCCAGUACAACCUGAUUUCAGUGAUUAUCUGCUCG
This 77530-nucleotide long non-coding RNA is filed under the name Malus domestica (apple). Its description in RNAcentral is "long non-coding RNA (MDOM_LNC016318)". The record is from RNAcentral. Lineage: Eukaryota; Viridiplantae; Streptophyta; Magnoliopsida; Rosales; Rosaceae.